This 77908-nucleotide long non-coding RNA is filed under the name Jatropha curcas. RNAcentral describes it as "long non-coding RNA (JCUR_LNC000684)". The record is from RNAcentral. Lineage: Eukaryota; Viridiplantae; Streptophyta; Magnoliopsida; Malpighiales; Euphorbiaceae.
AUCUUGUUACUUUAGUCCCACCGCCGGCUCCGCACAGUCGCCAAUAAUACUACUCUCUUCUGCAUCAUCCCUCAAGUUCCCAUUUCAAAAGAUAAUAUUUUGAUUAGUGAGUAUUUCUCUUAUUUUCCUCUUUCUUUGUCUUUCUCUCUCAAACUUGAAAUAUAAUUAAUUAAGGGGAAGGAAAGAAAAAAAAAAUAAAAUAAAAGGGUCCGUCGGUGUUGUUUGAUUGACCUUGAAUCUAUCUGGGAAAGAGGUAAAUUGUUGUUUGAUUUUUUGUUAAAGUUCAGUUUGAACUCUUUUUGUUCUUGAAUUUUCUAUUUUUGUUCUAGCUUUUUGCUAUUUUCUUCUUCUUUUUCUCUUUUUAUGUUUACUGGAUCUCUCCGACUUGGAAUCUUUUAGGUCUGGAUCCUGGUUUCUCGUUUGGGUUUACUGUUAGAUGUGGGUUAUAGGAUUAGACCAAGAAUUUUUGUGUUCUUUUUUAGAUCCAAGCUACUUGACCUCUAUGUUAUUACCUGAACAAUUUCUUUUCUAGGAAAGUUGAAAACUUUCCCGGGAGGUACUUACAUUCUGUCAUAAACGGUGAGAUCUGGGUGUUUCACUUGAUUAUCUGUUGGAUGAUAAGAUUCAUUUGAUUUAUAAUCUAGUCAUGGGCUUUAAUAUCAAAAUUGGCUUUAAUAUCAAAAUUGGUUACUUUAAUCUCCUGCUAGUAAAUCUAUUCAUAUCUUUCAAUAGAAAAUAAUUCAAGAUUAAUUUUUUUUAUGAAUUGGGAAUAUAAAAUUUUCUGUUAUGGAAUUGAUGUUUCAUCAAAGUUUUUUAGUGGAAUUAACUUGUCUCAAUCAAAAUUUGCUGAAAUGAUUGAUAUUUGAGAUUUUGUGCAUAAAUAUUCUGUAGUAAAUAAGAAAAUCUGAAAUGGAAUUUCUAUUGAAUUAUUAUACACAGGAAAGCAUUUAGUUUUUUGCUGGGUUUUAGUAUGUAUUAACUUUUGCUGUUCUUAGCAGGCUUAAAAAUACCGACAGAGUAAGAUAGAUAGGGUUUAAAGCCAUUAGAGAUCCCUACAAAUUCAAGAUGAUGAUGUUCGAUGAGAUGGGAUUUCUUGGUGAUAUGGAUUUCUUCUCUGCGCCUUUUGGAGAAGAUGUGGCUGGUCCGGAAACUGAGCCGGAGCCUACUGUGGAGGAUGAUUAUAGUGAUGAGGAGAUUUAUAUUGAUGAGCUUGAGCGCAGGAUGUGGAGGGACAAGAUGCGUCUUAAAUGGCUGAAAGAGCAGAUCAAGAGUAAAGAAGGUAUUGAUAUUGCUAAGCAGAGGCAGUCACAGGAACAAGCUAGGAGGAAGAAGAUGUCAAGGGCUCAAGAUGGGAUCUUAAAAUAUAUGUUGAAGAUGAUGGAAGUUUGUAAAGCUCAAGGCUUUGUUUAUGGGAUUAUUCCUGAGAAAGGAAAGCCAGUGACUGGGGCAUCAGAUAAUCUUCGAGAGUGGUGGAAGGAUAAAGUAAGGUUUGAUCGAAAUGGUCCGGCUGCCAUUGCCAAGUAUCAAGCGGAUAAUUCGAUCCCAGGCAAGAAUGAGGAUUGUAAUUCAAUUGGUCCAACUCCACAUACCUUGCAGGAGCUUCAAGAUACUACUUUGGGUUCGCUUUUGUCAGCUUUGAUGCAGCACUGUGAUCCUCCUCAGAGGCGGUUUCCAUUGGAGAAAGGUGUUCCUCCACCAUGGUGGCCCAAUGGAAAUGAAGAGUGGUGGCCUCAAUUAGGCUUACCUAAGGACCAGGGUCCUCCACCUUAUAAGAAGCCUCAUGACUUGAAAAAGGCAUGGAAGGUUGGGGUUCUUACUGCAGUGAUCAAACAUAUGUCUCCAGACAUUGCCAAAAUUCGCAAGCUUGUGAGACAGUCAAAGUGUUUACAGGACAAAAUGACAGCUAAGGAGAGUGCAACUUGGCUUGCAAUUAUUAACCAAGAGGAGGCAUUGGCCCGAGAGCUUUACCCUGAUUCAUGCCCACCCUUGUCAUCGACUGGAGGGAGUGGUUCAUUAGUGAUUCAUGAUUGCAGUGAAUAUGAUGUUGAAGGGGUUGAAAAUGAGGGAGGUAAAAAUACGUGGAGGGACAAGAUGCGUCUUAAAAGGCUGAAAGAGCAGAACAAGAGAAAAGAAGGUAUUGAGAUUGCUAAGCAGAGGCAGUCACAGGAAGAAGCUAGGAGGAAGAAGAUGUCAAGGGCUCAAGAUGGGAUCUUCUUUUUACUUAGUAAAUUAUAGAGGAGAAUUUUAUUAGCAAUUGAAAGAAGAGUAACCAGAAAAUGGAAAUUGCAUCUUUUUUUUCGUGGCAUUUUAUCAUUGCAUUGUUGAAUAUUUUCUCCAGUCACAGAGUUCCCUUUCCAUGGAGUUUAAAAGAUUGGCUUACUGUAGAUACUAUAGAUCUUUAUUUAUGUCUAGGUAAAAUACAUCUGUGACUCUAAAUUAUGUCAUAAUUAACACUUUUGUCCCUCUACUGAUUAGAGAAAUGAAAAUGUUAAUCAGGGCAUAAUUAAGGACCCACAUGUAUUCUACCCUAGUUCAAUGAUUAAAAGGUUAUUGUAGUCUUUUUAUUUUCAAUUGCUGGUGAAAGUUCACUUUUUUGGAAGGAAUAACUUAUCAAUUAGAAAGACUAUUAGGGUGAAAUUUAAAAUAUAUGCAAGGAAAUAUGCUUAACCAAAAAAAAAAAAAAAUUAUAUAUAUAUAUAUAUAUAUAUAUAUAUAUAUAUAUAUAUGAAAAGAGAUGAAGGUCAAAUUUGUCUUGCCAUAUUUUAUUUUAUAUACCAAAUGCUGAAAAAUAAUUUUCUUUAAAAAAGUACUUUUUGAGAAGUAUACUUCGGGAUAAAUAAUAAUUUUUCUUUAUUUUAUUUUUAGAUAAUGUUAAAGAUGAAAAACGAACUUUGAGGAGUGUCUUGAUGUGGUCAUUUGGGGAAACGCACUGGAGAGUUGAUGACGGGCUAAAGUGGGCCUGAAACCGGACCAGGUUCAGUUGGCUGUUUCCAACUAUGAAAUAGACAAUAAUAGCCUCAAGACAAGGCUUACUGUUUACGUGCUUUGGUAACAUGCACAUGUUUGGUUUUCUACAGAACAAAUCCCUUUUUCAGAAAAAUUAAUUAUUUUAUUCAUUAAUUAUUUUACUGGCUGUUAAUUAUUUCAGUUGGUUGUUUUGUCAAACCUUAUAAGCAAUAACAUCUAAAAAUUAUUAUCUCAGUUUUAUGAUAUUUGUUAUAUUGGAGAAAUAAUUUAUUCUAAAAUAUUUGUUAUAUUUGUGAUUUUAAGAGUAAUAAAUUUUUUUUUUUUUCAUGUCUACCAUUUGUAUAGGUCUAACUAUCAUAACUUCAAUUUAAUAAUUUUUUUUAAAAAAAAUUAGUAUUUAACGUCUGAUUUAUCAAUAAACAGAUUUUGUUGGUAGUUACCUACAAAUUAGAAAUUUUUAUUGAUAAAAUUUAUUUUUAAAAUUAAAAAAGAUCAUAUAAUUUUAACGAUCGAUUAUCGACAGAAUAGAUUACCAACAGAGUUUACCAAUAAAUUUAAAUUUUAUUGGCAAAAAGUGUGUUAUAAAUUUGCGCGUAGGUUGAUAAUUUAUUAACAAAUUACAAAUAGAUUUUUAUAAAAAUUUUAAAUUUCAAGAGUCAUAAAUGGGCGGGUAAAUGAUGAAAUUUGGCAACACUAAAAUAUAUAAAUUUAUUUAUGAACUUUUUCGAAAAAAAAAAAAAGUGUGGAUAUAAAUUUCAGGUGUCAUAAAUUGCUCCAAAUAAGGCAAGUCACUAAUUCUAACAGACUUGAUGACAUCUGCCUAACAAAGUAGGAUAUUUAUCGUUUGAUUAUUUAAGCAACUAACGGAAGUCAGUUGUUUUAGCAGACUUGCCUUAGUUGGAACUACUAAAGGUUACGGAGAAGGUCAUAGUUUCAACUGAGACAAGUAAAAACACGUUAUUAAAGAAAACGGCGUCAUUUCUUUCUAGUAAUUCCAACUCAUGUCCCUCUUCACUUCCUACGUUUAGCUCAUAAAUGUCAUUACUUGAUUUCCAAUUUGAAUUUAAGCUCAACUCAUUUACGAUUAGCGAGCCAAGUUCCAUUUUUAAAUGAAUCAAACUCGAAAUCAAGUAUAUCAUAAUCGAAUGGAGCUUAAAUUCAUCAAAACUCGACUUUUCGAUCAGUUCAGCUUGAUUUGACUUAUUUACAACCCUAUCUAAUCUCAUUCUGUUUCGAGGACUAUGAUAUAUAUCAUGCUCCUCUUCCUUUAUCAACGUGCUAGUCCAAACCAAGUUUGCUUCGUACUACUAAGAACUUAUGGAGAAUAACAAUUACUCAUAAAUAAAUAUUGCACUUAAAUAAACAAAUGCUAAAGCAUUUCUCAUUCUUUAUAAAUAGGUAAGACUUAAAGAACGAUUGUAUUAACAAUUUUACAUUUUUUUUUUUGUAUAAAUGACAAAACAAAAUUUUGAUAGAAAAAUUUAAAAGAUAUUAUUUUUCUUAGGAAUUUAGUAAUUUUUUUAACUUGAUAUAAUUAUUGGGUAUAUUUAAAAAAUAUAUAUAUAUUAUUUAAGGCCACAAAAAGGAGGUUAAACUAAUUUUGGUUUAAGGCAAUGAAAUAUCAAUUAAUUUUGGUUCGAUUUCGAACUAAACCAAGCUGCAAGAACCAAAAAUCGAAAAUACAUUUUACUUGAAAUCGAACCGAACCAAAAUGGUCAAUCCGGUUUGAUAGGUAUGAAUUCAGUUAAACGAUUUGGUUUUACACAUUAAAUAAACGUUUGGUAUAACCAAUCCAAAUACAGAAAAUUGAAAUUAUGAAAAAAUUUUAAACAUAAGCCUAGACCAAAAACUGAAUAAUUGAACUAAAAAUAAAAAAUAAUUUGGUUCGAUUCGAGUUUUGAUUUUUCCUAAAAUCUGCUCACCCCAGUCAAUUAGAUUCCUAACCCAUCACCAGAUGUCCAUUUUAAUUUCGUGCGUAGUGCUUGGCUUACGCUGGCAGCUGUACAAUUGACCAAAUACAAUUUAUCUUGAAACUUUUAAGGAUUAUUUUAUUUUAAUUUCAUGCAAUUGGUAAUUAGUUUUGCCGCAAUGAAAUGCUGCACGUGCUUAAAAAAAAAAAAGUAAAAAAGGUCUUUGACUUGAUAAACACAAAGCAUUUGAUGUCACAUCCCCAAGUCCGUGGAUAAUACAGUUACUAUUAAACCCACGAAAUGUUCCACAAAUAAAAUAUAAAUUGGAAAACCAAGUUAAUAUUUUAGUAGAUAUCCCUAAUAAUUUUUAUAUUUUUUAACUAUUUAACAAGUGUUGAAUUGAUUUAAUUUUAUCAAUUAAAAUAUUCGUUGCAUUAAGUUGAAAUAUUUAUUAAGUGUAAUUUGUUAAAUUAAAGUGCUUAAUAAAAUAAAAUUUAAAAGUGUUACAGGAGAUUUUAUAAAAAAUGCAUAUAUAAAUUUAUUAUUUCGCUCUAAAAAUAUAAAAAUAAAUUAGAUAUAUUAUUAUUGAAAAUAUUUUAUCGGAAUAUCAUUUUUAAUCUGAUCGUAAAAUUACGUUUGUGAAAUAAAAACCACAUUUAUAGCAAAUUAAGUUGAAUUAUACUGAUUUGACAAAAAUAUUUUUCAAUACAAUCAUAAAUAUUAUUAAUUUUAUAGUGUUCAUUUUUAUUUUAGAAAAAAAAAAAAAACAUUGAGGUUUCUCUAGUUGAUGAAAUAUCCAUCUACGGAUAGUUCCACCUCUAAAUAUGGCAUGGGUACCUAAAAAUUUAAGAUUUUUAUAAUUUCUCACCCUUUUUAUUUAUAUUUAAUUGAUUUAUGCAAAUCAAAUCACCAAAAUUCUUACAUGAUAUGAUCUUUUUGAAUUAAAAUGUGUCAUAACUUACAAAAUAAUAUAUAUAUAUAAACAACUUAUAAAAUAUAUAAGGCUUGUUUUGGCAAUACUAGCUCUUUUAGUAAGAAUUUAUUCGGCAAUAUUAGUUAUUUUAUAAGCUCUUUAAACUAGUAGUUGUUUAUAUAAUAAUUUAAAUUAAAAAUGCUCGAUAAAAAUAAUUGUUUUGUUUAAAAAAUUAGGAUUACAAUUAUUAAAAAAAUUAUCUGAAUACCACUUUCAUUCUGAAUAUAUAUAUAAAUAAACCACAAAAAUUAGUGUUUAUGGGAGAAUUAAUUACAAUUAUAGAUUUUUCAUUAUUUGUACAGAAAAACCUAACACAUCCAAAUCUUUCUUAAUCACUUUUGAUUUGCAAUAUCAUCAUCUUUUUCGUCUUCUUUUUCUAGUUUCACCUUCAUUGUCUUAUUGCUUCCUCGAUAGGUGCCACUCGAACUUUCUUUUACCUUAUUAGCUUAACUAUUUCUGCUUUAAUAAAAUUCAAAAUAAAAAAAAUUAAAUUCCAAAAAAUAUUAAAAAGUUCUAGAAGUAUAUAAUAAUUUUUUAAAAAUAUAUUCCAUUUCUUCAAACGAAUAAUAAACACUAUAAAAAGAAUAAAACCUAUUCGAGUUGGUGGGAUUUGAAUCCUAUAAAAGCAAACCACAUGCAUAAAUGUUGACACGAUAGCUCGCGGUAUAAACAUGAAAAGAAAAAAAAAUUCUGUAAAAAGAAUAAAAUAAUAAUAAUAAUAAUAAAUUAAAUUUAAAGCUAUGCUCAAAAGAGAGAUUAAUAAAUUUAGAAAAAUAUAUAUUUAUUGAAAAAAUAAAAAUAAAAAAGAAGAAUUAUCAAUAAGAAUAAAAUAAAAUAAAAGGCUAGUAGUAGAUAUCAUAUAAAUUUUUUCAAAUUAAUUGAAAAAUAGACUGAUAUAGUAUUAGGUCUAAUUUAAGUAGUCUUUAUACCCAUUUAGGCAAUAAAAAUAUAUAUGUUAAAUCAUUAAUAUCUUAUUGGUAUUUUUUUAAAUUCCAGUGGUAAAAAUCAAGUCUGAAAUUUCCUUAUUUACUCAUUAAAAAAUAAGAAAAAGUUCAAAUUUUCAUUCUAAAUUUCUUCAAUCAACGAAAGUCCUGAAAUGGAAUUCACUUUUUAAGUAAGGGAUUUUUUAAGAUUUUUCAUUUACUUUAUAUUAUUUAAUUUCAAAUAUUUAUAAAUUUUAGUAUUAAUUACAAAAGAUUUUCACAGACAUUGUAAUGUAGUUGGAAAUUUUGAUGUUUGAACGCUUUUGCCAAAUAGCGAUAUAAAUAUUUACUCCCUCUAUCUCAAAAAAUUUAUCAUGUUUACUCUUACACGAAGUUUAAGAAACAAAAUAAUUACAGUGUAACAUAUUCCUUUAUCUCAAAAUAUAAUUCGUUUAAGGUUUUUGUAUAAGAAUUAAGGAAGUAAUUAAUUCUUCUUGAUUAUAAUAAAAUUAAAAGUAAAUUGAUUAAAUAAUCGUUUAUAUUAAAACUAAUAGGUACUUGUGAAAGUUUUUGUUGUAUCUAAUGUAAACAACGGUAACAUUAGAAAAAUAUUAUUUAUUUACUCAUUGAAAUAUUCAAAAUGACUUAUAUUUUAAAAUAAAAUAAUUAUACAAAAACGACUUAUAUAUUGGGACAGAGGGAACAUAAAAUAUUUGUGCUUCCAAAAUUGUGAUUCUUUUAAACAAAAUGGUUAUUUCUAAAAAUUUGCACCAAAAUCAGUUAUAAAAAAAAAACAUAAAAGGAAAUAUCAAUAUCUCCUCGAUUAAUUGGACAAACAUUUUGAGACAUUUAAAAAUCAAAAUAUGGAUUAAAAUUUUUUGGUACGGAAUGAGCAUUAUAUUUUGUCAUUGUUGAUUAUAAAUUAAAUUAACAGAAAGGGAUGAUACGUUUAGAAAAAAAUUAUUUAUAAAAAUUGAAUUUUUAAGAAAACUGAUCAGAAGUCAUUAAAAAUUGUUUAAAGACUAAUAAUAUUUAACCUAUAAAAUAAUUUAGAUUUUCGUAUUUAUUUUUUUUUCUAAAAUUUUCAAUUGUUAAUAUAAGAAACAAAACCUUAAAAAUAAACAUUUUGAUGAAACAACAACUGUAACUCUUAUCUGUAAGAAGGGAAGCAAUAGAAAGAAAAUCUAGAGAAAAUCAGGUGCAAAUCAAUGAAAGUAAAUGCAUUCCCACUAACAAGGGAUAAGUUUUGGUGAAACGUCAGGUGUAUAUCAGAGGACACACACGCAACAACACGGAGCCCCUUCAAGCCCUCCCUCGCAGCACGUACACUUUCACUUUCACUUUCUUUGUCUUAAAUAAUCUCCUCUUCUCUCUCUCUCUCUCUCUCUCUCUCCAAACGGACAUAACUAUGGUUCAAUUGAAUUAACCUCAUCAAACCUCACCUCUUCUCUCCCUCUCUCCCUCUCUCUCCUUCCUCAUGCUUUCUUAUAUUUUUUUUGGCUAAUCUUGUUACUUUAAUCCCACCGCCCACUCCACACAGUCACCAAUAAUACUACUCUGUUCUGCAUCAUCCCUCAAGUUCCCAUUUCAAAAGAUAAUAUUUUGAUUAGUGGUUAUUUCUCUUAUUUUCCUCUUUCUUUGUCUUUCUCUCUUAAACUUGAAAUAUAAUUAAUUAAGGGGAAGGAAAGAAAAAGAAAAGAAAAUUAAAGGGUCUGUCGGUGUUGUUUGAUUGACCUUGAAUCUAUCUGGGAAAGAGGUAAAUUGUUGUUUGAUUUUUUUUUUUUUUUUAAAGUUCAGUUUGAACUCUUUUUGUUCUUGAAUUUUCUAUUUUUGUUAUAACUUUUUGCUAUUUUCUUCUUCUUUUUCUCUUUUUACGUUUACUGGAUCUCUCCGACUUGGAAUCUUUUGGGUCUGGAUUCUGGUUUCUCGUUUGGGUUUACUGUUAGAUGUGGGUUUUAGGAUUAGACCAAGAAUUUUUGUGUUCUUUUUUAGAUCCAAGCUACUUGACCUGUAUGUUAUUGCAUGAACAAUUUUUUUUCUAGGAAAGUUGAAAACUUUCCCGAGAGGUCCUUACCUUCUGUCAUAAACGGUGAGAUCUGGGUGUUUCACUUGAUUAUAUGUUGGAUGAUAAGAUUCAUUUGAUUUAUGAUCUAGUCUUGGGCUUUAAUAUCAAAAUUGGUUACUUUAAUCUGCUGCCAGUAAAUCUAUUUAUAUCUUUCAAUAGAAAAUAAUUCAAGAUUAAUUUUUUUUAUGAAUUGGGAAUAUAAAAUUUUCUGUUGUGGAAUUGAUGUUUCAUCAAAGUUUUUUAGUGGAAUUAAUUUGUCUCGAUCAAAAUUUGCUGAAAUGAUUGAUAUUUGAGAUUUUGUGCAUAAAUAUUCUGUAGCAAAUAAGAAAAUCUGAAAUGGAACUUCUAUUGAAUUGUUGAAUUAUGAUACACAGGAAAGCAUUUAGAUUUUUGCUGGGUUUUAGUAUGUAUUAACUUUUGCUGUUCUUAGCAGGCUUGAAAAUACCGACAGAGUAAGAUAGAUAGGGUUUAAAGCCAAACUAUGGUUCAAUUGAAUUAACCUCAUCAAACCUCACCUCUUCUCUCCCUCUCUCCCUCUCUCUCCUUCCUCAUGCUUUCUUAUAUUUUUUUUGGCUAAUCUUGUUACUUUAAUCCCACCGCCCACUCCACACAGUCACCAAUAAUACUACUCUGUUCUGCAUCAUCCCUCAAGUUCCCAUUUCAAAAGAUAAUAUUUUGAUUAGUGGUUAUUUCUCUUAUUUUCCUCUUUCUUUGUCUUUCUCUCUUAAACUUGAAAUAUAAUUAAUUAAGGGGAAGGAAAGAAAAAGAAAAGAAAAUUAAAGGGUCUGUCGGUGUUGUUUGAUUGACCUUGAAUCUAUCUGGGAAAGAGGUAAAUUGUUGGUUGAUUUUUUUUUUUUUUUAAAGUUCAGUUUGAACUCUUUUUGUUCUUGAAUUUUCUAUUUUUGUUAUAACUUUUUGCUAUUUUCUUCUUCUUUUUCUCUUUUUACGUUUACUGGAUCUCUCCGACUUGGAAUCUUUUGGGUCUGGAUUCUGGUUUCUCGUUUGGGUUUACUGUUAGAUGUGGGUUUUAGGAUUAGACCAAGAAUUUUUGUGUUCUUUUUUAGAUCCAAGCUACUUGACCUGUAUGUUAUUGCAUGAACAAUUUUUUUUCUAGGAAAGUUGAAAACUUUCCCGAGAGGUCCUUACCUUCUGUCAUAAACGGUGAGAUCUGGGUGUUUCACUUGAUUAUAUGUUGGAUGAUAAGAUUCAUUUGAUUUAUGAUCUAGUCUUGGGCUUUAAUAUCAAAAUUGGUUACUUUAAUCUGCUGCCAGUAAAUCUAUUUAUAUCUUUCAAUAGAAAAUAAUUCAAGAUUAAUUUUUUUUAUGAAUUGGGAAUAUAAAAUUUUCUGUUGUGGAAUUGAUGUUUCAUCAAAGUUUUUUAGUGGAAUUAAUUUGUCUCGAUCAAAAUUUGCUGAAAUGAUUGAUAUUUGAGAUUUUGUGCAUAAAUAUUCUGUAGCAAAUAAGAAAAUCUGAAAUGGAACUUCUAUUGAAUUGUUGAAUUAUGAUACACAGGAAAGCAUUUAGAUUUUUGCUGGGUUUUAGUAUGUAUUAACUUUUGCUGUUCUUAGCAGGCUUGAAAAUACCGACAGAGUAAGAUAGAUAGGGUUUAAAGCCAUUAGAGAUCCCUACAAAUUCAAGAUGAUGAUGUUCGAUGAGAUGGGAUUUUGUAGUGAUAUGGAUUUCUUCUCUGCGCCUUUUGGAGAAGAUGUGGCUGCUCCGCAAGCUGAGCCGGAGCCUACUGUGGAGGAUGAUUAUAGUGAUGAGGAGACUGAUGUUGAUGAGCUUGAGCGCAGGAUGUGGAGGGACAAGAUGCGUCUUAAAAGGCUGAAAGAGCAGAACAAGAGUAAAGAAGGUAUUGAUAUUGCUAAGCAGAGGCAGUCACAGGAACAAGCUAGGAGGAAGAAGAUGUCAAGGGCUCAAGAUGGGAUCUUAAAAUAUAUGUUGAAGAUGAUGGAAGUUUGUAAAGCUCAAGGCUUUGUUUAUGGGAUUAUUCCUGAGAAAGGAAAGCCAGUGACUGGGGCAUCAGAUAAUCUUCGAGAGUGGUGGAAGGAUAAAGUAAGGUUUGAUCGAAAUGGUCCGGCUGCCAUUGCCAAGUAUCAAGCGGAUAAUUCGAUCCCAGGCAAGAAUGAGGGUUGUAAUUCAAUUGGUCCAACUCCACAUACCUUGCAGGAGCUUCAAGAUACUACUUUGGGUUCGCUUUUGUCAGCUUUGAUGCAGCACUGUGAUCCUCCUCAGAGGCGGUUUCCAUUGGAGAAAGGUGUUCCUCCACCAUGGUGGCCCAAUGGAAAUGAAGAGUGGUGGCCUCAAUUAGGCUUACCUAAGGACCAGGGUCCUCCACCUUAUAAGAAGCCUCAUGACUUGAAAAAGGCAUGGAAGGUUGGGGUUCUUACUGCAGUGAUCAAACAUAUGUCUCCAGACAUUGCCAAAAUUCGCAAGCUUGUGAGACAGUCAAAGUGUUUACAGGACAAAAUGACAGCUAAGGAGAGUGCAACUUGGCUUGCAAUUAUUAACCAAGAGGAGGCAUUGGCCCGAGAGCUUUACCCUGAUUCAUGCCCACCCUUGUCAUCGACUGGAGGGAGUGGUUCAUUAGUGAUUCAUGAUUGCAGUGAAUAUGAUGUUGAAGGGGUUGAAAAUGAGCCGAACUUUGAUGUGCAAGAGUGCAAACCUGAGAAUCUGAAUUCCAAUUUGGGAAUGGAGAGAAUGAGGGAAAGGCUUCCACUUCGACAACCUUCUUAUCCGAUUAAGGGAGAGAUUGUCACUAAUGUUGAUUUUAUUAGGAAGAGAAAACCUCCCAGUGAUAUAGACAUGAUGGUGGAUCAGAAGAUAUAUACAUGUGAGUUUGUUCAAUGUCCUUACAGUCAACUCCGUCUUGGUUUUAAUGAUAGGGCUUCUAGGGACAAUCAUCAAUUAAAUUGCCCAUAUAGAUGCUCUCUGGACUUUGGAGGAUCAAAUUUUCACUGUAAUGAAGUGAAGCCUGUUAUCUUUCCUCAUCCAAAGCCAGCUCCUCUAAUGGUGAAUGCAGCUCCACCUACUUUCGAUCUAUCAGGAGUUCCGGAAGAUGGGCAAAAGAUGAUCAGUGAACUCAUGUCAAUCUAUGACACUAACAUCCAAGGAAACAAGAAUACAAAUGCUGGCAACAAUGGGGUCAAUGUCAAUGAAAGUCACAGUCUUUUCCAGCCAAAAAUUCACCAUCAUCAUCAACCGGACAACUACUUCCGAGGUCAAGCGAAUGUGAUAGAGGGAAAUAUUUUUGAAGAAUCCAAUAUUCAUAAUAACCAUCAAAUGUUUUCUCAGGAUAGUAAUCAAUUUGAAAGGUUUAAAGCUUUGAAUUCUCCAUUUGAGAGCAACCACCACCCCACCGCCGCCGCCACCAACAACAGCAGCUUUAAGUUCGGAUCUCCAUUCGAUUUAGCUUCCUUUGACUACAAAGAAGACUUGCAAGGCUUGGUAAUGGAUGCUCUGCCAAAACAGCAGGAUGUUUCAAUCUGGUUCCAGUGAAGAAAUAAACACACAGAUUUCGAAUCACUCUCCAUAUGAGAGAUGAACUAUCUUUUAUCUUGUUUAGGCUCUGCAAAAUCCAGUGAAAGCUUCACUGGCUUUUAAGAACUGUUUUAUCAUUUAAAUGUAUUUCCCUUAUCUUUGUAGUUCUAGAAGAUUUAGAUAGCUAUAAGCAAUGGCAAGCAAUGGGCUAAUAAAGAAGUUAGCAAAGUCCCAAAAAUCGCCUCUUGCCGUUGAUUACUAUAAUUAUAUACACAAUAUAAGACUGUGAAAUAAAUAAGUAAUUAGUGUUUUGCUGUAUUUUAUUGUUGUGGGUUUCAUCAGUUCAGCCCUUGUGGUCAGGAAUCUGAUGGCAAGUGUUUGUUUAAGUUGUCUUGUAAUGGAAAGGGUUUGUCAUUUUAUGGAUCUUGUUGGUCUGCCCAUGUGAAUUCUGAGACACACAACAGAGCAGUUAGGUUUGAAGAUGCCAAGUUGACUAGCACUUGUUUGUGUGAUGGCAUGUUUCGCAUUGUGGAUCAUUAUUACUUUUUUUUUUUCUUCCAAAAAUAGAUAUCUUUUUAUAGAAAAAAAAAUGGAAAUAAAAGGUUUCAAACUAAUUUUCCUUUCAUUUCUUGUUUUAUUUUUAAUUUAAUAAUUUAUUAUAAUAAUUUAUUAAAUAAAUUGCUUGUUUUAUUUUUAAUUUAAUAUAUUCAGAUGGAUUCAAAUUAAUUAUAAAUAAUGUAUAAAGAGUAAAUAUGAAAAAAAAAAAAAUUAAUACUUUUGAAACAACAAUGUCGCUAUUUUUGAAAGAAAAGCAGUGAUAGGAGGGUGGUGGCGGUGUAGGGUUUUUAUUUUUAUAAUUGAAGAGAGGAGAUGCGAUAGGGUGGCGGCGGAGGAAGCGGUGGUGGGGAGGUUGUGUUCAAAGGUUCAAGAGGGGCGGCUGGGUUUGGAAGCUUUUGGGGAUUUUUUUCAAGCUUUGAUGGCAAUGUUUGGCCAGUUGUCAACAUACUUUGGCGUGUUAGACUAAAAAAAAGUUCGGAACUUAUCACUUCACUAUGUGUGGGUCCCAUUUUUUUCCUUUUUUUUUUUUUUUAAAUAAUACAAUAAUCGGUUGAAAGUUGAAACUAGACGUCGCUUUUACAGGAUGGAUUUUAGUGUUGACAACUUUUGCGUGUUCUCUAUUGUUAUAGCCGUUCGAUCAGCAUAUGUGAUUUGUGAUUGUGAACAUCUCCGCAUAAAAAUAAAUUUUUUUUCUGAAAUAAUAGAAUUAUAUAUAUAUAUAUAUAUAUAUAUAUAUAAAAGAAAUAGGCAUGAAAAAAAAAUUAAUACUUUUGAAACAACAAUGUCGCUAUUUUUGAAAGAAAAGCAGUGAUAGGAGGGUGGUGGCGGUGUAGGGUUUUUAUUUUUAUAAUUGAAGAGAGGAGAUGCGAUAGGGUGGCGGCGGAGGAAGCGGUGGUGGGGAGGUUGUGUUCAAAGGUUCAAGAGGGGCGGCUGGGUUUGGAAGCUUUUGGGGAUUUUUUUCAAGCUUUGAUGGCAAUGUUUGGCCAGUUGUCAACAUACUUUGGCGUGUUAGACUAAAAAAAAGUUCGGAACUUAUCACUUCACUAUGUGUGGGUCCCAUUUUUUUCCUUUUUUUUUUUUUUUAAAUAAUACAAUAAUCGGUUGAAAGUUGAAACUAGACGUCGCUUUUACAGGAUGGAUUUUAGUGUUGACAACUUUUGCGUGUUCUCUAUUGUUAUAGCCGUUCGAUCAGCAUAUGUGAUUUGUGAUUGUGAACAUCUCCGCAUAAAAAUAAAUUUUUUUUCUGAAAUAAUAGAAUUAUAUAUAUAUAUAUAUAUAUAUAUAUAUAUAAGAAUUAGGCAUGUUCGUGGUCGUUGCGAACGAAUUUUUUAAUAUUUAUAUCUGCUAACUAAAAAAAUAUCUAUUUUACUAUUCGUGAUGUAUUAAGGUAAAUCACGUUGGAGUGAUGUAUUAAGGUAAAUCAUGUUGGAAGACGAAUUAAGUCGGAUUAAAAAAUAAAAAUAAAAUAGCUUUUUUUUUUUAAAAAAAAAACAUGAAUAAAAGUAUAUUCAUGUAGAAUUUGUAUGAUUAAAUUUACACGUGUUCUUUUGAAAUUGAAAUUAAUAUAUACAUUCUUAUGAUUAAAAUGAACAUCCUUAAAAAAUAUUAAAUGAAUGACGAUAUUUUUUAAUUAAAAUAUUAAAUUAAAUUAAAGUAAGGUGUUUUUUUUAUGAAUUUUCUGAUUUUUAAUGUAAAUGGUAAAAAAAUAUUUACCUUUCGAUUUAAUUUCAUCAUUAAAUCCUCAAGCAAGAUGAAAAGUAAACAGCACGUGAGAAGUCUAAAUUUUAUUUAUUUAUUAUAAAAUAUUUGAACCAUAUCCAAAGCAAGUACUCCAAUUAUUUGAGGUCUAUUGGCAGUCAUAAGUUAUUGAUUUUCUUUUUUUUUUUUUUUUUUAUAAUAUUUUCCUUAGGAAAUUAAAAUAACCACACAGUAUGAAACUUUAGUUUGUCUCAUCUCCUUUGUUUUUUAGCGGCAGCCGUGUAGCUUACGGCAUGUUUGGCAUUGUUUGCUUUUCUUAGAAAAUGAGUUCAUAACAUCUGACUUCGUAUGAAAAAUAUAUUAAGCUUAAGGAUGACAAUGGAUCGGAUUAUGGAAAAAUUACUCUUAUUUAAAUUAAAAUAACGUAUAAUUCAUUUUCAAAUCUACGCAAAUAAAUAGGUGCUUUGCAAUAAAUAAAAUUUUAAUUUUUUAAUAUAUAACGUGGUAAGAUAAUCAAAUCAUUUACUUGAUAAAAUCUCAAUUGAAAUUUAUUUUUAAACAAAGCAGAUCAUCUCUGACCAUAAACUAAAAUUCGAUGAUUAUUGAUGAAUAAACUCAAGCAAUUUUUGGACGAACUCGAAAGUUCUUAAAUAGCAUGAAACAAAAAUAAUUAAUAUAUCUAUACCAUAAACAUAAUUAUUUCUUUUAUAUUUUAUAAAGUUUUUUAUGAAAUACAAAAGGUAAAAUAAAUUCUUAAUAUAUAAAAUAAUUAUGAAUAUAUAAUAUUGAGUUAAAAUGUUGCUAUUAGAUAUAAAAAAGUAUAUUAAAAUUUAUAAUUUAAUUAAUUAAAUAAGCUCGUGAACAAGUUUGAGUUCGUUGUGAAAAUUAACAAAUCGUGGUUGAAAUAAAUUUUGAGCUUCAUAUUAAACUAAAACUCAACUUGAGCUCGAAUUACAUAUUAUCAAAUAAUGUUAUACUCAACUCAUUUAUAAUCGUAUAUACGCAUCGUGUAUUGUAGUACAUAUAUUAAUUCAACUCUAAUUGGGGAUUUAAAAACUAAAAAUUUUAGUUGGACAAACAUCGAAAAAAAGGAGUAUUUAUUAAACGUUGUUGUCACUUAGGUUUAACCAUAUACAUACAAAGCAACUUAAAUUCAAAUAAAACAAAUUCCAUAAAACAAAAUAAUUAAUUUUGUCUCUUUAUUUUCUUUUUAUUAUUUGAAAAUUUCAAUGCUAAUUACAAUAAUAAUUUUCUACUUUCAAUUCUUCAAAUGCAAACGCCUAGUGAUUGCUUCACCGGUUUGACAAAUGCAAUCAAAUUCUUGAAUCAUUUGUGCAAGAUUUGGUGGAAUGGUUCCACCUCCCAUUCUAUUAUCUCUACAAUUUACCACAUUAAUCUUAGCACUUGUUAGGGAAAGAUCUAUGUUUGAAAAUUUCUUAGUGAUCACACAUGUUUUCGAUACUUGCAUGGCAUUAACCGCAAUAGCAAAAUAUAUUGAACAAGAUGAAUAUCGGGCUUUCAAGACGUGAUCUUUCGUCGAUUGAUCGAGCGAUGUAGUUAUGGCAAUAAUCUCUUGAAGCUUAGUAUUCGCCGUGUCGAUUACCAUUUGCGCUAAACCGUAUAGAUCCAUUGUUUUCGUCUCGGGAUGUGAUGAUAGAAGAUUUAUGCAAAAUUGAGCGUUAUGCUCGACUUUCGAGCAUAUCUCCAUAAUUUUCUCAUCGGUGACGACAACAUGAGCCGCAGAGGAAUUAGCAAUGGUUAGAACUAGUAGGGAAAUACAAAGUAUAGUAGAAGCAAAGCCAUGGGAGGAUAAUGCCAUUUCUUUAAUUAGGUUUUCUUUGCAUUGGAGUUUAAGGAUUUAGGGUCUUAUAUAGUAGUUAUAAGGUUGGUAAUACUUGAUCAAGCUUUUACCACGCUAAUUGCCUAAAUAUGAAAACUUAUUUAUAGUCAUGACUAUAAAUACUUUUUUUCCAUUAUUUGUGGCUUGAAACUAGAAAUUAAUAGCUACAAAUCAACUCAAGCUAAUAUUAAUAAACUAUAAGUCCGCAUGACUUUUAGAGAAGCUAAAUUCUUAAACCCAUUAGCUCGAGAAAUUUUUAGUUAGACUUAGUCUACGACGUCAGCUAUAGACCAUCUAAUGAAAUAUAGUCAUAUCAAUAAUUUUUUUUAGCUUAUCUCUGUUAGUUCAUUCACGUUUCGGCUUUUAUAACUCUUAAGGAAACUAAACUAUCAUAAUACAAAAUUGCCUAAUAUAUCAUACUAUUCCGAGCUUUUCGGCUUCUAUAACUCUUAAGGAAACUAAACUCUUAAACCUAUUAUUAAUUAGCAAUAUUUAAAACUAUCAUAACACAAAUAGUGCAAUGUAUCAUAAUAUCCCAAACCUUUCAAGCUUUUGUAACUUUUAAGAAAACUAAACUUUAAAUUUAUUAGCACCACCAACUUAGCAAAUAGCAACGUUUAAAACUAAUUAGCAAUAUUUAAAACUAUCAUAAUACAAAAUGACCUAAUAUAUCAUAAUAUCCCAAACUUUCAGCUUUCGUAACUUUUAAGGAAAUUAAAGUACUCUUAAGCCUAUUAACACCACCAACUUUACAAGUAGCAACAUUUAAAAUUAAUUAGCGAUAUUUAAAAUUGCAAUCGCAUAAAACGACAUAUUUUAUCAUAAUAUUCCGAACUCCGACAAAAAAACUAAACUCUUAAACCUAUUAUCAUCACCAACUUAACAAAUACCAACAUCGAAAACUAAUUAUACAUUAUAAAUUGGUACAUCCCUAUAGGACACCCAAAUUAUAAAUUGGUACUAGAGUAAAAACCCUAAAGUUUUUAAUUAUUCUUUUGUUGAUUGUUUAUUUUACCUUAUGUAGGUCACGAUAUAAAUUGCUAUCUUGUGAAUAAAAGAUUGUAAAUAAUAAUUAUCAAAUCAACCACCACUUUACAAUAUGGAGAGGCAAUUAUAAAUUCAAAUGACAUUGUUCGUCGUAUGUACCAUUAGACCGACACAUUUUUUCUUUAAUUUUUUUUUUAUUAUUUUUCCUUUUCUUUAAUGUAUAAAAACAAGCAUUGCAGACCACCAAGAACAUGCCAAGAUAGACACCUUGCACUAAAAACAAAAUCCCCACUUAUUGAAAUGAAAUUAGAUUAUAUCUUCUAAAUGAAAUUUAUCUCCAAACAGAACAUUUUAAAUUUUAUGCUCGUGGUUAUUGAAAGAACUUUAUUAUCUUAAUACGUUAUCCCGAAUAUAAAAAAAAAUUAUAUAUUUUUAAAGAAUUUUAUGAACAAGGUGAAUAUAUAAACACAAGAUGAUUAUCAAAUAUAAUAAACUAAAAUAGAGAGAUCCUUUAUGGUAGGGACUCCAAAAUUAUUUUUUUAAAAGGAAAUUAGCAAAAGAAGAGAAAUACAUGAACAAAGCAGUUAGAACAGGUAUGACAGGUCAUAAAGCUAACCCUAUGUUUCAAGAAAUUGAAACAAAUCUUUCCAUUGACCUUAAUUAAAUUAAAAGCUUUUAGUUUCAUUUUUUAGGCAUUAGUCUAUGUACUUGAGGCUACACUUCUGGCAUAAGAAUAUGCAAAAUGACAGCUACAAGUCUUAUUAAUAAUUUUUUAAUUAGCUGAGUUUUUUUAGCCAAUAAAUCAAUUUUUAAUUCUAAUUCAUAGCAUAAAUAUUGAAUAUAUAUAUAUAUAUAUAUAUAUAUAUAUAUAUAUAUAUAUAUGCUGCCNNNNNNNNNNNNNNNNNNNNNNNNNNNNNNNNNNNNNNNNNNNNNNNNNNNNNNNNNNNNNNNNNNNNNNNNNNNNNNNNNNNNNNNNNNNNNNNNNNNNNNNNNNNNNNNNNNNNNNNNNNNNNNNNNNNNNNNNNNNNNNNNNNNNNNNNNNNNNNNNNNNNNNNNNNNNNNNNNNNNNNNNNNNNNNNNNNNNNNNNNNNNNNNNNNNNNNNNNNNNNNNNNNNNNNNNNNNNNNNNNNNNNNNNNNNNNNNNNNNNNNNNNNNNNNNNNNNNNNNNNNNNNNNNNNNNNNNNNNNNNNNNNNNNNNNNNNNNNNNNNNNNNNNNNNNNNNNNNNNNNNNNNNNNNNNNNNNNNNNNNNNNNNNNNNNNNNNNNNNNNNNNNNNNNNNNNNNNNNNNNNNNNNNNNNNNNNNNNNNNNNNNNNNNNNNNNNNNNNNNNNNNNNNNNNNNNNNNNNNNNNNNNNNNNNNNNNNNNNNNNNNNNNNNNNNNNNNNNNNNNNNNNNNNNNNNNNNNNNNNNNNUAUAUAUAUAUAUAUUAAAAUAUAGAUGGUCAUCCUCAAAAUGCCUAUCAAUUAUUAUAUUUGAUUGACUUUUCAUGAUCUCGAAAACAUUUGGUGACAUGAACCCUUUCAUUUUAUUUUAUGACAAAGUUUCUUUAUCUAGUUGACUGCCCAUGAAUUUUCUAGGGACAAAACAAUUAUUCAAGAGUCGACCGAAAAAAUAUAAUCAUUAAAAUUUAUUUAAUAAGCUUGAUGAGCUAAUUUCAAAUUUGUUUAUUAAGUUUAUUUAAUAAAUGAAUCAAUCUCGACUUAUAGUUUGAGGCUUUUUUAUAAUUUUUUUUAAAUUAUAAGCUAGCGAAACUCAUUUAUGUUGAGUAUACGUAAACGAGUAUUAAUAAGUUUCAACUAAUUUUAUUUGUUUAAUACUUUUUUAAAAUAAUAUUAUAUGAUUUGUUUCAUAUAAGAACAAAUAAUUAUUAAAUAAAUUAUUAUUAUUUUCAUUUUUUAAAUAACUAAAUAAUUUAUUAUAAUUAAUUAAUUUUCUUUUAUUUUUCAUAGUUAAAUCUAAAACCCUAUUCUAGGAACAAUUCCGAAAAGAUGGGUCAAAUUUAUGCGUAACAAAAAUAAACAGAUUGGGCUUUGUCAACUUUAUGGGCCUUCUGUUCUAUGGACACACUUAUAUUAUAUAUUCAGAAGAUGAGCCUAAUAUUUGUGUACAAAAUGGGCUGGACUUUGAUAAGAUAGAGGGUCUUUUGUCCAAUAAGUACUCUCUAAAUCCUACUUGGGAGGUGUUUGCUAUAACAUUAAUGCUAAGUAAAACUUGUGACUUAGAGAGUUGAUACACGUAGCCUAUUAUUGCUUUUAUCAAAAGGUUAUUUCCGCAGCUCAAAUCUAUUUUUUCAAUAUUAUAAAUUUAACUAUAAACUCGCAGAAUAAAUGAAUAUAUAUUAACCUUUAAAAGUAUAUUCGCUUAUUAUAAAUUUAUAAAAUUUCAAUAUGUCAGUAAUUCAAUCGGAUUCGAGCAGAAUUUAGUUAAUUUAAGAGGCUAAAAAUACUUGUCUAGCUAAUGAAAAAAACAAAAAAGAAAAGAAAAAGUUAUCAACCUUCGGAUUUAAAAACUAAAUUUGUCCAAUAAAAAUAUAUUGAUAAUAUAAAAUAUAAUCCAAUCCUUAUUUUUAUGUAAAAAUAUUCUUAUAGGAGCUAAUCUCUAAAAUUUAUCUCUUGAAAAUUUAAACACAUAAUAGAUAGUUUGACAAAUAAUAAAUAUAUGGAUCAUUAAAUGACUUGCGUAUUGGGAUCAGUAAGAUGUGGUAGAAAGUUUGUAAAAGACAAGGAGAAGAAAAACAGGUAAUUACCAGUCAAAUCCCCAGCUAACUCAAAAUCAAUAUUUAUAUAUCCUUAGCAUUUAACACUUACCCACAAGUGAAUCUGUCCUUUUCUUGUAGAGUUAUUGCACAUUGCAAUUUGGCAUAACAAUAAUAGUGUAACAAGCUAACAGCACUCACCUACUCCUACUGCUGCUAGUGCUGCUGCUGCUCACUCUCUUUCUGAUAUGACUGUACUUUCUCUCUGAAUCUCACUGGUUUUUGCAUUCUUUGUUAUGUUUGUUUUGUCUCUGCUUCUUCAAGAAGUUCACUUUCUUUCUUGUUCUUGAGUACGCACUUCCAUUUCAUUAUCUUCUUUUACUUCCAAAAGCUUUAGUUCCGCUCAUUUCAAGAAAUGCUUGAAAUGAUAGGUAUUUGUGGAAAGUUAUUCUUUUGCUAACCAUUUGUGUUUCCUUUACGUUCUUGUUCUCUAGGCUGCUUAACUGAAAAAAGAAAUGUAGAUUCUUGUGCUUGUUUCAUUUCUUUACUUCUUGCUGAUUUGCUUAGCUGCUUUUGUUAUUUAUGUUAGCUAUUGGGUUUCUAUUUUUCUUCUUUUUGUGACGUACUUUUUGUUGCAGUGAAUCUAUUAUUUCCAUUUAUGAGAAAAUGGAUUUAUGAAUUUAGCAGUUCUUGAGCUGUGAAGUUCAAUUUUAGUAUGUUUUAUUUUUUAUAGUCUUUGGUUCAAUUUAGUCUUCCACUACUCCUUACUUUUUGACCAAUGCAUUUGAGUUUUCCUGUAGAUUCGCGUAGGCUGUGAUUAUAUUGUUGAUUUGUUACUUGUAUAGUACUUCCUUCUUGCAAAUUGGGUCGAUUUCUUUUCCCCUCUCAAACUGGUUCUUUUAAUCCGGUUUGGUGUAUUCCCAUUAUCUCUCUCGUUGAAAUUUGUGAUUUUGGACCCUUGUUGAAGCAAUGCAGAUAACCAGUUUGAUGUUGUUCUUAUUAGUAGUGAAUGCUUUUGGACAAUCAGAUUUUGAAGCACUGUUGGAACUCAAAAAGGGUAUUGAGAAAGACCCAUCUGGGGAAGUUCUUGUUUCAUGGGAUUCUAAGUCUCUGGCAUCUGAUGGUUGUCCACUGAACUGGUAUGGAGUUGUCUGCAUUGAUGGUCACGUAGCUUCCCUUACUCUGAAUGACAUAGGCCUUGUUGGCAAUUUUAGUUUCCCAGUUCUUACUGGUCUUAAAAUGCUUAGAAACUUAUCAAUUUCGAAUAACCAAUUUGUGGGAACUGUUUCAAAUGUUGGUUCUAUCGAGUCCCUAGAGUAUUUUGAUAUUUCUCGCAAUUUGUUUCAUGGGUUCUUACCCUUUGGCAUAGUCAAGUUAAAGAAUUUAGUGCUUUUGAAUCUUUCUUCAAAUAAUUUUCAAGGCAUGAUUCUUUCUGGUUUUGGCAGUCUUGAGAUGUUGAAAUAUUUAGAUUUGAGAAGUAAUAGCUUUUCUGGUGAUAUAAUGGAUCUUCUUUCCAAGUUGGGCAAUGUGCUUCAUGUCGACCUAAGCAGCAAUCAGUUCUCUGGUUCUUUGGAUUUGGGACUUGGGAAUAGCCGUUUUAUUUCGUCAAUUGUAUAUUUGAAUAUAAGUCAUAAUUCUGUGGUUGGAAAGCUCUUUGCUCAUGAUGGAAUGCCAUAUUUUGACAGUUUAGAGGUCUUUGAUGCCAGUAAUAACCAGAUAGCUGGUGAAAUACCUCCAUUUCAAUUUGUUGUCUCUCUUCGGAUUCUUAGGCUUGGAAAUAACCAGUUAACAGGAUCUCUUCCUGAAGCUCUUUUACAAGAUAAAUCAAUGGUAUUGUCUGAACUGGAUCUUAGCCUUAAUCGACUUGAAGGUACCUGAUUCCAACAGUUCACCGUUUCCCUCUCUUUUCCCUUUCCUUUUUUCUUUCUAUUUUCUCAUAGUUCUGGUGAAUUUAUGUAAAAUGAUUUUUUGUUUUUUUCAUGCUAGUUAUUCCUGCAUUAAACUUGCAUUUGAGAUUAACAUUAACAUUUGAAACUAUUAUUCAAUUAAGAGUUGCGAUAAGAAACAUAUGCAGCUCUACUCUUGCAAAUUUGUAUCCGGUAUAAAAACUGAUUGAAAGGCAAAAAUAGCUUUACCUAUCAAUUUAAAGUGAAAAAUGCUCACCUUUAUAGCAUAUCUUUGCUAAAGCUAUUUAAGAGUUUACUCUAUCAUUGAUUAGAGUUUGUUCAGUUUACUCUUUGGAGUUUUGCUUGAUUCUAUAAUAUGCUAGGUUGCAUCAACCAUUGUUAAUAUUUUAGGCUCUAGAUAUAGAAUAACAUCCUGUCAUUUUUCCUCAAAUAUAAUUUUAGCAACUUUGGCAUGUGAGCAGGAAAAACGUAGCCUUCUACAGUUUAUGUUUGAACGUGGAAGUAAAUAUAAAAGCCCACCACAUAGUGAAACAGCAAUCAUAUCAAAGAAAGUGUAUUGCAAUGUCAGUUUCCUGAAAAUCAUUAUCAUAUAAAUACAUAUCAUCGCAGUUAGAAAAUUCGAACUGAUUCAGGAUGUGAAGAGAUCUCUAUCAUCACAGUUUUUGCAGGUUUUCCAUGUUGGUUGAUGUAGUCAUUAUCUCUCAAAAGUUGCAUCUGCUUUGAAUUUCAGUUUCUCAACAUGCCAUUAUAUCUAUGCAUAUAAAAUUUUAAAGGAUUAACAUGUUUUGCAGGUCCACUUCGAAGUAUCACUUCUGGAACUCUGAAGAAUUUAAAUUUGUCUUCAAAUAAACUGUCAGGUUUCUUACCUGCCACUGUAGGAUAUUGUGCUGUUAUAGAUCUGAGUAAUAAUCUGUUUUCUGGGGUUUUGUCAAGAAUGCAGAACUGGGGAAAUUAUGUCGAAGUUAUCCAGUUGAGUAACAAUUCAUUGACAGGAAGUUUGCCUAACCAAACUUCUCAAUUCCUGAGGUUGAUUUCUCUCAAGAUAUCAAGGAACUCAUUGAAUGGUGAACUUCCAUUAGUGUUGGGUACAUACUCACAACUGAAAGUUGUUGAUCUUAGCCUUAAUAAUCUUAGUGGGUUCCUUCCUCCAAGCCUCUUCAACUCAUCAACAUUGACUGAUCUCAUCCUGUCAGCCAACAAUUUCACUGGGCCAAUCCCACUUCAGGAAAUACAAGUUUCCACCCAGAACCUUAACUUGCAGUCUCUCGAUUUGUCAUAUAAUUCCUUAGAUGGAAAUGUGCCCCUUCAAAUCAGCAAGUUCCACAACUUGGUGAUUCUUAACUUAUCCAACAAUAAACUCAAAGGCACCAUCCCAGGGGACCUUCCAGAUGGAUUGAAAGAAUUUAAUGUGUCUUCUAACAAUCUCUCUGGUGUGAUCCCUGAUAACUUAAGGCGGUUUCCUGAUUCAGCUUUCCAUCCUGGAAAUUCCCUGUUGAUUUUUCCUAAUUUGCCACUGUCGCCUGGGGGUGCUCCAGAGCUGUCUUCGAGGGAUCAUAGAUCUCAAAUGAAACCUGCUAUUAAAAUUUCUCUUAUAGUUGGUAUCGUUGGCAUUGCUGCUCUAAUAGCUAUUUCAUGCAUAAUGAUUCACUACAGGAAUCAUAGGCAGAAUAAAAAUCUUAGAAGUUUGAAAGGAGAUGAGGGAAAUGAAGCAGUUACACAAGAGCAUUCUUCCAUUUCUCAUACCCUAGCAAGUAACAAAAAUUUGGACCAAUCAUUAUCAUCAUCUAGUAUCCAUCAAAGUCUUCAUCCGUCAUCACAUGUAGGGUCAGCAUAUCAACCUGGGGACACAUCAUCAGCUAUAUGGAAGCCUAAUGAUCCGGAAUCAAUAAGGAAAUAUGAAGGAUUAUCUUCUCCCUUGUCUGUUUUGUCAUCUUCAAAUCCAUCACCCUCUAAAAGCCAGCUUUCAUCUGAAUAUCCUGGUGGUCUUCAGGUAUAUUCUCCAGAAAGAUUGGCUGGGGAUUUACAUUUGUUUGAUGGCUCCCUAGUGUUCACAGCACAAGAACUUUCACGUGCUCCAGCAGAAGUUAUUGGGAGGAGUUGCCAUGGUAGUUUAUAUAAGGCAACACUUGACUCUGGUAAUGUGUUGGCUGUAAAAUGGUUAAAAGAGGGAAUAGCCAAAGGGAAAAAGGAAUUCUCAAGGGAAGUAAAAAAACUUGGGAACAUCAGACAUCCAAAUUUAGUUUCUCUUCAAGGUUACUUCUGGGGCCCAAAGGACCAUGAGAAGAUGAUAAUAUCUAAAUAUAUAAAUGCACAAUGUAUAGCCUUCUAUUUUCAAGGUAAGAUACCAUUUCUGAAAUGUGAAUUUAUGAUAUUUUCUUAUUCUGGAUCAAAUUUGUGUUUUAAAUUGUGCAUUUACUUGGACGGUUUGCACUAGUAUCCAAUUAAUUUCCACACUGAAUAUUUUAUGUUUAGAGUGAUAUGCAAUUUAUCCCUAUCAGACAAAUCUAUCUAUGUUCCAUGCACGUAUUAAUCAUUUCAUAUCUAGAAAAGUGGAAAAGGAUCUACUUACACUAGUGAAAAAUCAAUAAGCCUUUUAGACAAAUAAUCUGAUAUGAUUCAUUAUUUCAUUUGUAAUGCAAGAAUUUUGCUUGUAAUUAGAUUCAGAAAAAAAUUUGGUUUCAGAAAAUUCUUUGGAUGACAAACUUUAAAUGGUACGAUCUAUAUAAUAGAUUGUCACUUUGACUGCAUAUGAUUAUUCCUCACCCAUCCUGUUUUUCCUUGCCCAUCUUUUGAUUCUGGAAUGUUUCAUCACAAUUACUCCACUUGACUUUUUGUAAUCUGAUAUUUUGGCGUAAGAGAGGGGGAAGCUGGGAUUUAAACCCUCAACUACUUGAGGCAGGUGCUUGACCACCGGACUACUGGCGUAAUGGUUUUUCUGCGAUUUUUGUAUGCAUUUUUUAAGUCAUCUUUUUUUUUUUUUUUUAGUUCUUGAAACGAGUAACAGCGUUCUUUAGCUUUCUUAAUUGGGAUUUUUUAAGAUAUUGGAGUGCCAUAGAGGAAGAGAAACAGAAUUGGCAGGAGAGAGAUUAUUUUCCAUCAAAUAUUAUUUGCCUAUUUGUUCUAUAGGUUGUUCAGCUUUAUGGUCAAUAUAUGCCUCAUGGCUUCUAGUUGUGACUGAAUUUUAAUCCUAUAUCCUCUUUGCCAGAAGAGAAUCUAUAUUUCAUAGGGAUAUUGUGUUGUCCUUUUCUUCCUAUUUCAUGCAUUUUUCAUUUUAAAAAGGAAUUCACUUUUGCAGAUACAGAGCCAAGGAAACUCCCACCUUUAUCUCUCGAUAAUCGGCUCAACAUUGCUGUUAAUGUUGGUCGAUGUCUGAACUACAUGCACAAUGAGAGAGCAAUACCCCAUGGAAAUCUCAAAUCCACAAACAUUUUAUUAGAACCUCCAAACAUGAAUCCAUUGCUUACAGAUUACAGUCUCCACCGCAUACUGACAUCAGCUGGCACAGCAGAACAAGUUUUAAAUGCAGGUGCUCUUGGUUACCGACCCCCCGAAUUUGCUAGCUCCAGUAAACCCUGCCCAUCAUUAAAGAGCGAUGUCUAUGCAUUUGGGGUUAUUCUGUUGGAGCUCCUAACCGGAAAAUGUUCAGGAGAAAUUGUUUCUGCAAACCCAGGAGGAGUUGAUCUGACAGAAUGGGUAAGGUUAAUGGCUGAAGAAAACCAUUCAGACAAGUGCUUUGAUAAACUGCUUGUAGAUGGACCAAAUGUAGAGGCACCCAGGAUUCUUGGAGAAAUGCUGCAAGUGGCUUUAAAAUGUAUCCUACCAGCAGCUGAGAGGCCUGACAUAAAAUCAGUUUUUGAAGAUUUGUCUAUGAUAGUUUUAUAAAAGGCCUCUCUUCAAGACAUUCUAACUGCAGCCUCUGUCACUAACCCCUUUUUCUUCUCCAUUUAUUUAUUGAAGCUUCUAAUUUGUUUCUUUACAAUGUUAAUGUUUUGAAUCUGCUCUUGGUCCUGUGAAUAAUGCCAUUGGAUAGGGUAUUGUUAGCUAGUGGGAAGGAAAUAAAUUUUCCUUUUUUUCUUUUUUAGAUUGUUGGGUUAAUUCAUUCUUUUUAGCCCUUUCCUGUAAUGUAAUCUCCAUUGAUGAUACUUUUACCAUUCAGAAAGAAUAUUCAUUGAGGCCUAUAUUUAAGAUUACAUUUGUUUAUUAUAGUUUCGAGAUUGCUAUGCUAAAUAGAUAGCAUAUAAAAUCAAUCAGCAAACAUAUAAAUAAUAUUAAAUAGAAAAUCUAAAACAUAAAUCUUUUUAUAUAGAAAAUUUUCAAUUUUUUUCCAAGUUACAGUACUUCAAGAAUUUAUAAUGUUUAGUUUUGCCUUUUUCUUCUUAAUGGUUAGUCUCCAAAAACCUAUAAAUCCAACUGCUGCUCAAAAAUGGAAUUUGACCGGCCAGCGAUUAUGGGUACUGCAAUUAUUCCAGCAAACCUCCAAUUGUACCAAUACAACAGAUUAGAAAUAAUUGUUUAUAUUAAUCGAUUCCAACGAGUGGAUUCUCUGACUGUAAAUUCAUUCCAUACCGGAACACACGCUUAACAUUUUCAUUAUUGAAAAAUGAAAGGUAGAGGCAAAUUGGUAAAAAUUAGAAUACAUAAAUUGAAAAUAUAUAAUACAAAUUUACUUGAAUUUGGAUCAACAAUACUAGAAUGUUAAUACUAACAGAUUAGAGUUAAUGUAAAAAGUAUGAAAAUGAAAAUGAAAUUGAAACUUUGUCGGUUGCGUUUGCCGAGAAAGGAUAACGCCAACUGCUUUGACUUCUGUACGCGGUACAAGGAAUUCCGAACCUGACCCCUCCAUUUUUUGUUUUUUAGCAUUUAAUCAAAAUUUGAUUAAUGAAAAUUUAGGUAAUUACAAUGACGAUAAUGCCCUUUUUAUAAAACAUGUGUAUUAAAAAAGUAAAAAAUUUUUAUAACAUGAAAUGGAAAUUUAAUUAUUAAAAUUAUUGAUAAUGUUUGAUAUUUUUAUUUUUUAACUCACAUAAAUAAAUUAAAUAAUUAUUUAUUUACAUGUGUUAAAAAUUAGGUAUCAAUUUUAAAUUUUUAUAUUACAAGAUAAUUGAAUUCACUUCGGUCAAGUGUAUUGAGAAAAUUUUUUAGAAAUAAAAUUUUCUGUGAAAUUAAGGUUCAAAACUAUUAUUUAUUUGAAUUUUAAGUUUUUUUUAAUUAUUUAUUUAUGUUGAUUUGUUUGUUUAAAGUUUUACUUUCUUAUAUUAUUUUCUGAUUUUGCUAGCUAAUGCAUUUACUUUAACUUUCCUUUUAAAAAAAAAUCAAAAUUUAAAUUCAUGAGAUUGACUACCAAAUUUACAAUUAAUAUAUAAAAAAAGCUGGCUAAUUAGAUUUGGUCUGGUUAGUCUUUUCAAUUAAGUUUAAUAUGGUUCGAGUCCACUCAACUAUUAAAGUUUUAAAAAAUUUUGUGAAUUAAGCAGAGAACUACUCGUGUUGUACAGUGUUAUUUCCUGUCAUCUAGCCUCCUGACGAAUCAAAAAGGCUAAUUUGGUCAAUUUAUAGAAAAUAGUGUGCUCUCGUCAAGAAUCAAACAACUCUUGAGUGUCUAGGUACCAAACAUUCAGUAAAAUACAAACAUAGGCCUCCAAAUUCAUUCAUUUCAUUUGACUGUUUCCACUUCUCAAGGCAGUAUAUUUGAUUUCCCAUUAUUAUUUAUUGACAUCAAUGAAUGAACUGUAUUCCAAAAUCUUUUACUUUUUCCACUCCUCCACACACUUAUAUGUAUAUAUAAUAUCUUUCCUUCUAUGCUCUUCCUCUCCUCAGCUUCCUAGCAUACUCUAUCUCCCUUUUUUAUUUUAAAUUUCUUAGAGCAAUCUUUUGUUUUUACUAAUUCCAGGUACACGAUCUCGCUCCUUAAUAUAUAUAAACACUUCGAUUAGCUUAUUGUGUAUUUGAAUUUUUAUUUAUUGGAUUAAUAUUUUUCAAUUAAUUCAUAAAUUGAAAAUUUCGUAUGAAUUUUUUUUCCUGUUUUAAAUUUUAUUUGUUUUUAAUUGAAUUAUGGUUAUAAUUUAAUUAUCUUUUGAUUGCUUUGUUAAAAAACAAAAGAUCAUAUUAAUAAUAUUUUCAUUGAAUUACUUAUACUAAAAGCUAAUUGCUAAUGCCAGAACAUAUAAAAAAAAAAAAAAAAAAAAAAAAAAAAAAAACCUAGCUAAUAUUAUGUGAUAUUUUUUUCAAGCAAGAAAUGGUUUGCUGACUAGGUCUUAGCUGUCAACGACACGUCACCAUCCCCUUCACCUAUUUUCCUUACUUGGAAAAUAUUUAAUAAAAGUAAUGUACAAUUCCAUAUUUACCCCUACAAACAGAUACUAUAUUCAUUUUUGUACGAAAUCGCCAUUUCCCUUACGCGGUUUCAUACUCUCACUUUACCUUACUUAAGAGCCUUACAGCCCCAACUCUGGAUGCAGCCUCUCUCUCUCUCUGUUUCAGACCGCAACCAUUUGUAAGGAACAGAACAUUUGUUUCUCAUUUACAGUGUUUCUGAUCUUUGUUUUUCAGUGUCUAAACAAUGGCUGAACGAGUUCACCCGCGUGACUCACCUCCUUCAUCCACUGAGUUAAAGAAGACGCCGUCUGCCUCACCGGAUCGUCCCUUGAAACCGGCAGCUCCAUUGCUGGAGAAACCUGUUUCUCCACCACCGGCUGGAACUUACGUCAUCCAAAUACCAAAAGACCAGGUCUACCGAGUCCCGCCACCAGAAAAUGCUAAACGUUAUCAACAGCUCUCUCGCCGGAAGCAUCGCCGGAGCACUUGCUGUUGCUGCCUCUGCUGGUUCUUUGGCCUCCUUUUUACUUUCAUUCUCCUCGCCGCCAUCGCUGCUGGUGUCUUAUACCUUGUUUUUCGGCCGGAAGCUCCUAAGUACUCAAUUGAGUCUGUCUCCAUUAAAGGUUUUAAUCUGACGUCAUCUGCUCCUCUUUCGCCGGAAUUUGACGUCGCUGUUAGAGCUCACAAUCCGAACAAUAAGAUCGGGAUUUAUUAUCGGACAGGAAGCUCCGUUAAUGUUUAUUAUAAUGAUGUUAGGCUCUGUAACGGUAAACUGCCGGUGUUUUAUCAGGGGACGAAUAAUGUGACGGUGUUUGUAGCGUCGUUGAAGGGGUCUGGAAUUGAGUUAACGAGUGCGGUGCAUAAGGCGUUGAUUAGCGGCGAAACCAAAGGAGCGGUACCGUUUAAGUUGAAUUUGAGGGCGCCGGUGAGAAUUAAAGUAGGGUCUCUGAAGACGUGGACGAUUACCGUUAAAGUAGACUGUGAUGUAACGGUGGAUAAAUUAACGUCCAAAUCUAAACUUGUGUCCAAACAUUGUGAUUAUGGUGUUGAACUGUGGUAGGAAUUGGGGGUGCUUGGCUGUAGAGUUAGGGAAUUUCGGUGGGUGGGGAUUUGAUUUUUUUUUUAUUUAUUUAUAAUUAUAUUGUUUUAUGUGACAGACAGAAUAUUAAUAUAAAUAUAAUAUAUACAUAUACGAUUCAUUAUUAUUUUGAUUUUUUUGUCAUGUCUUACGUGUUGGAGAUUAGUGUAUUGCACAUUACUUACUUAAUAUAAUGUGAUUUAGGAUUUGGUUUGUUUUAUAAUUUUAGAUAUGUAUUAAUUAAGAAUAUCCCCUAAUUAAUGUAUGUGAAUGUGAAAUCUAAAAUCAAUUUUGAAGAUCUUAGAAUAUUAAUUAAUUUUCAAUCCAAAUAUAGAUGUUGCUAUUUGCUUUAAGUUUUCAGAUUUUCAAAACUUUGUUUACUUUUUUUAAUUUUAAUUUACUCAAAAGAUGGUAUUAAAUGGUUACUAUCAAUUUGGCAACACCAUUUGUCAUGCAUUAGACUAGUUCAAGAUUUGGUAGAGAAGGAUGUAAAAAAUAUUACUUUGGAGCAGACACUGAAGUUAAGUUCAUUUCUUUUCACAUAUAAUUUUUUUUUUUUUUUUUUUAAAUUCUAACAAGAAACAUGCAAUAGAAAAAUUCAAAUGUUGUGACUUGGUCUGCAAAGAAUCUUGUAAGAGAAAUAUGAUUAGGUAGUUUUUGUUAAUUACUUGAGUUCUGAUAUUAUGAAUACCUAACCCACCCUCAAGAAAUAUGACCAUUGAGAUAUGCAGAAAAAUAUAAAUAUUUAAAAAAUUAAAUUGCUCUGCAUAAUCAAGAUAUUAAACAGGGUGGAAUUUGAUCUUGAGUUCCUAUCCUGUAUGUGAGAAAAAUUGAGAAGGAUUAGGCAAAAACUACACAGGAUCCUGUUGCAUUCAAAAAUCUCUAUUUAUCACCCCCAGCAACCAGAUGGUGAUAGCUUUUCUGAACUGCUAAAAACCCACACCAUUCCCUUUGUAAUCUUUCCAUUACAACUUUAUAUCAGCUCCUUUAUUUUGUUCUUUACCAAUAAAUGGCUUCCACUUGGCUUUUUCUUUCUUUCUUUUUUUUUUUUUUUUUUUAAUUCCUUUCUUCAUGUACAAAUGCCAUAUAUGUCCAAAAUGCUUCAUGUAUGAGAUUCUGAAUACUGCUGCACAGGUGAAAUUCUUCCCUCCCCACUGCAACCAAAUUCUUCUGUUCCAUUUUCUUUUUCAAUUAAACAACUUGUGAUUGGAAUAGGGUUUGAGGUUGGGGAUUCUUGGCAACUUGAAUGGCUUUUUGAACUUCUGCGUACAUUUUCACGGAACGGUCUGAGAAGUUAUUCAAUUGGCCAAGAAAUCCCUCCAAGCUUGAUCGAAAACGCUCAAAACCUGGAAUGAAGUCAUCUAAAGCUUCAUCUUUCAACAUAUUAAUUUCUGAAUCACUGCCAUUAUCAGCCUUCCAUGAUCCUAAGUUUGCACUUUUUCCUUGAUUCUUUUCUUGGCGGGGUAAAAAGUGAGCAAUUUCUGCCGCUAAACCCUUUAUAGCCUCCACAACAUCCUUUGCAGGCAAUUCAUUGAGCUUCUCCAACCAGACACCACAGAUGGCAUAUAUUGGAGGACCUUUCUCUCUCAAAGUUAACGAAGGUGGUGGUUGUCUCCUUUUCUUCUUUACAGGUUUUUCAGGAAGAAUGACACAUUUGAAAAGCCAAUCAUUUAUAGCCUGCAGAUAGGACUUCUGAGCACCUAUCCACUUUGUAAAACAUGAUGACAGAGAGUAAAGUUCAUUUUCUAGAUGCAUGGUAAUCUGCCGAUGUGACUCUGAUUGUAUUGAGAAUUUGGUACUCCUAUUGUUGUAUGCUAUCGAGAUUAUGUGAAACUGAGACUUGUGGCAGUCAAGCAUCACCUCCCACAUCCGACUUAGCCUGUCAUUGACAAAAAGGGUAAUGAGAUCAUGUCCGGAAAUUAGAAGUAUUUACCAAGAAAUGUUGAAAUUUUAAAUGCUAAUCAAAAUCAGACAAAAUUAAAAAUGUCUGUUUAGUCAUACUAUGAGCAUAUAAUAUCACCACUGGUGAUUAAGAAAUUAGCAUACAGUUGGUAGGCCAAGUUCUGCAAAACCAUGGAGCUGAUUAUGGGAAACAUACACUUAGCUAAGUAAAAUUAAAAACACCUGGCCACAGAGAUCCGAUCAGACAAAAGAUUCUUUGGAUACAGCUGCUCAGAAUUUGGGAAUAAUGUACCCACUAAUGUCCAAUCCCAUCAGACAAGGAAGUCUUAAUAGCACUACUACCAGCAUUGAACAGCUGCUCAGAAUUUGAGAAUAAUGUACCCACUAAAACUUGAGAGUAAUUGACAAUCAAGAUUAUAUUUUUCUUUUUGGCUCUCAAACAACAGAUUAAUUUUGCUUUUGAGACGCAGACACACACACACAGUGAAGAUUCUAAUAAUCAAUUGAAACUUGAGACCCAAAAAAAAAAAAAAAAAAAAAAAAAGAUAGUCCAUGGAAACCAACUCAGGAAAACAAAAUGCUCCAUCUAGAUAACUCAACUUUGAAUACGUACAAAAUAAGAUACAUCCUCAAUUCUUUUCCCUGAACCAGAAUUAACAACAAUUUUGAAAUGUCAUAAGUAACAGAGAAUUUUGGAGAGGGAGGAGGUUCCUUUUGGGCGGAGAGGUGUGAGGCUUAAACACGCACUAGGUCCUAAAUUGAAAAGAAUUCUAGGACCAAGUUUUGUUUCAAAAAAACAUUUAAAAUUCUAUUUCCUACAAGUACAUGCCUGCCCUUAAAAGAAAGUGCUGUCAAAGUAUCCAUAACACUGAGUUGAGGAAAAAUGUUGGUGUCCCACCCAAUCAGCAUUAGCGAAGUUCACAAGGAUUUGAUUUUAUUCAUCAAUUACUUGCAUGGCAAGGUCAAGCACUCUAACGACAGUCAACUAUAGUACCUUCUUCUUAAAUAAAACAACUGUUCCCUUAUCGUUGUUAUUUCAUUUUAUCUCGUUUCAGUAAAUGUUUAUUUGGGUGAUAAACUGGUAGACAGUUAAGGUAAUCAUUCUAAUUGAUGAUGUCUUCAGAAUUAGGCCAGGCGAGAACAAAAAUAAAUCGUGUUACUUAAAGCAGUCUAUAGCAGUCAUGAUAUGUUGUUGAUUCUAUAAACAUAUUAACAUAAAAUGUUUCUUAGCUCUACUGUGUUGCAAGAAGAGUAUAUGGGCUUUGACGUUGAACAUUAUCAUGCCCAGGUUGUAUUAGCAACUCGAAUUAAAGAAACAGAAAAAGGGAAACAUACCCAUCAAUCAAUUCCUCAAGUUGCGGUUGAAGCUCUUUGUCACGUAAUUCCUCGAUUCUAUUUGAUAUGGAAUCAAUUCUGUGAAUUGCAACUCUGAUUCUUGAGUGUAGAUCCUUAACAACAGCACGAGUUUUAUCAAUUUGGUAGCUAUUUUGUCCUUUAAAUUCCAGUUGCCUAAGAAUAGUUCGCUUGGCAUCAUAUUCCUUUCUGACCGCCUCGCUAGCCUGAAUUUGAGAAUAUAAAUAAAUAUAUUUGCAAUUGAAGGGGAUAUAAAUACACCAUAUAGAAUUCAUGUGACACCCAAUUAUACAUUUUUAGUGUCAUCACGAUAGUUCUAUUUUGCCAGCUCAAAAUUUGCAACAAACGUUGGUCUGCAUUUUAACCCAAUCACGUUUAUCUAAUGUUCUAUGCUUUCUAGAUAUGCUAUGUAGUCAAGCAAUUCCUGCAUCUAGAUUGACAUGAUAUCUAUAGAUGCGAAUCAGCAGAUGAACAAAUUAAACACAUUAUAGAAUUAAGCUAACAUUCACAUUACAUACUUGAGACAGUUUUCCACUCAGCAAAGAGGAAAAAGAAAAUUAAUGCAGUAACAACCCACCAGCAAUUCAAUUUUUGAUCUUUCUACAUCACAUCAAGUGAGAUAACAGUCUUACUAGUUGGGUAAUCAUCUAGAUGUCAGCUAUUUUCAUCUUCAGAUUAAGUUCUUAUUCUCACCCAAAUAUAGAUUUUUCUAGAAAACCCGAAUGUAUGUCCUCGUCCCAAAACCAACAUUCACUCCUAUAUCUGGCGAUACCACCUCACCUACAUAUGUUGACCAUUGUCUUGACCACUGCAAAAACAUCCAAAAUUGGCCAACAGCCACUACUCAACUAGUUCAAAAUCCAUGCGAAUAGCUUCUCCAAAACAGGCCUCCCUCAAACCAUUUAAGAACUGUUGACAAAAUGAAAAUACCAAUAAUUCUCAUCAAUAGAUGCAAACACAUCACGCGCUUGUAAGGAGGUCGUGGAAUUAUGGAUGGUUCAAGAGGUAGGGAUUUUUCUCCCAUGGCAGCCAGUCAAUCUUCUAUCUUACUUUUCUGAUACCAUUUCCAAUUGUCAUUUAAAAAACAAAAAAUCUUAUAUGAACACUUUAGUAACUUCAUCACCAACCCAUUUAUUAGUUGACAAUAGGUAUCUUGGUUAAAGUGGAUGUUGCCAAUAUAUAGUUAGAUAUAAACAGCAAAAAAUCCACAGAGCAAAUGUAAUAAUUAUAAUUCACUUACUCAUGAAAUUGAGCAAACAAAUUAGGAACAGAGUAACGGACUAACAGGGAACAGUGCACCACUGUUUUGAACUGUGGAGAUUAUUGUAAAACAAGAAUAUAUAGAAUCAGAGCAUCUCUUUCCUUUGAAAAGUAACUCAGCUGUGACUUAUUCUCAAUCCUAUUUUUUUCUUCAAUUACUUAAUUCAGAGCUGCAUCUAAAGUAAAGUUUAUCAUUGCUAUAUUCUUUUCCAUUACUUCAGCUAAUUUAUGAUAGGGCUGCCUCUUAUUAUUCUAUUCAAAUUGAUUGUUAAAAAUUCAGUUUUGAGUUCAUAUGCCAAGUGAAUAAAUCGACAAGCAAAAGUUUACAUAUAUAAAAAUAGAGAAGGAACAUAAAACCAAAAUGAAACAUGUUAUUCAUCCUAAAGUUGAAAAACAACUGAAGAAGUGCAAAUUAACAUAAUCAGCUAGUAAAUCACCUAAACUUUAAAGCAUAAUAAACUGACAUUCAGAUGGCUUUCCAUAAUUUGAUUGCAACCAAAAUAUGAAUUUAGAGCAAUUUGACAAGUAAAACAGCUAAUAGAGAGAGGAAGUGAGAAAAAAUUCAUAUGAUUUAUAUACCUAAAAAAAAGAUGCAAGCACUACAUAACGAAAAGGUCAUAUCAAAUCAUUUCCACCUAAUUUUAUCAACUUCUCCUUUCAUAUGAAAAGGUAGGCAAAAAGUGGAAAAUCUUUCUGGCUUUCAUUUGAAAAAUAUGUUUAAGAAAGUCCUGUAACUAUAUUAAGAAACCACAAUACCUUUACUUCAUCAUAAAGCUUUCGCUCCCAAGCAUAUAGCCUAUCCAAGGUUGAAGCAUGACUGCCAGAGAUCAUGCAAAAAUUUUCAAAAAUAUUACUGGUAAGAUCCUCAUUGUCAUCCCUAAUAUUUGACCCGAGAGGAUUCCUAGAUGAAGAUGAUCGUGAAGAUGUUGUCCUAUGCCAAGUUAAGUAUUUCACGUCGUUUUGAGCAGGCUCUGAGCAAACAUUAAACGAAUUAGUAGAGUAAUUAGUCCAAAGAAAUGAAGGAUAUCUUAAGUGCUAAUAUGAGAGCAAGUAUAAAAUUAAGACUAUGCAAGUUAUACAAGUUAAGCAACUCAGCUUUUCAAAUAUUCAUGUCUACAGUCAUGCUGUGUUUGUACAUUUGUCUUCACCUAAGUUAUGAUAUAUUUACAGAUCCCCGAGUCUAAAAUUACGAAUGGGAAUUUCACUAAAAUUUUAACCGAUUAAUAUUCACGAACAAAACUUUUCACUCUCUUCUUGCUUCUCCAUUUCCACAUCAUUUUAACUGAUUUACUUUCACUCCAAGCAGUCUACAUUGCUAAAACUACUCCAAUACAUACUUAUAUCACACAUUGGAGUCCAAUAAAUAAUGGACCGUUAGAUGGCAUUUACUUUUGGGGAUCACAACUAUAAAGACAAGUUAAAGAUAAAUCACCAAGUCAUCCAAACAGCCAAAGUUCUUAGAACCACAUGAUCGUAUCUAAGUGAUUGACAUUCUGAAAUAAUGCCCAUAUAAAUCUAACCCCAGGAUGAGAAGUGACCAUCUUAUGACACGAAAAAAUAACUCAGCAAAUAGAUGAGCAGGACUACCUUCUUGGACUUGACUAGGGUCUUCCCCACAAGAGAAACAAGCUUUGAAGAAUGUUGAUACCACUGAUCCAUCUGCCAGAGAAGAUUAUAAAUUAAUUAAAUGCUUUAACUCAAUUAUAUUAGGAGAAGGAACCUCCAUAUAAUUCCCAUGCAAUGAGAUGAAAUAGAAAUAUCUUUCUUGAGCCAAUAGAAAAUGUCAAAUUCCUCAAUCAUUUUAUCAUUUUCUAUAGAACUCCACAAUUACAUGUCAAAGUUCCAAGCCAACUAUACAAACGAGCUUCAUCCAACAAGACCAACAUAGUCUGUUGUUGGUUAUUAUGAUUCAUAGAGAAGACUAAAAAGUAAAGUUGUCCUAAGCACCAAGCAAAGCCAACCUCCAAUUAGAUACAUUGGUGCUAAGAAUGAUAACAGAAUCAAAAACAUAACUUGGCAAAAAAAUUUGUCCACAUACAGUCAUGUAUCACAUUCAUACAUGCACAGACAGGGCAAAAAGAGACAAACACACACACAGACAGAGAGAGAGAGAGAGAGGGAGAGAUCAUACUUUCUUUUCCUGGGACUAUUGGACGGAAAUGCAACUUAUUUGCUUCAAGCAUCCUUGGAACUUCUUUCCCAGCCUCAGAAGCUUUUAUAAACAGGUAUUCAAUAUCUUUUAUACUCGAAAAGAAGUCCUUGGGAGGAACCUUAUUCUCAGCUCGAUCUUCUUUAACAGGAGUUUUCUUUGUGUCAGAAGAAACAGCCACUUGUGAGGAUGGAGUUCUCAAUGGUGACAAAUAAGGAGAGUUACUUUUCUCCCCAUGCAAUAACUCAGUUUCAGAAGCUACACUUCCAGCAGAAGGCAUGGCUGGGGAUGCAUUAGGUGCAACAUGAUCUUGAACCCUAUUAAGAUUCUCAAAACUUCUAACCAAAGUAUCUGCUGGAGGGUCAUCAAACUCAUCUUCUGAAUCCCCAGAUUCUUCACUUGCAUGAAAUGAGUGUCUCUCUUCCUCAUCUUCCAGUUCAGGAAUUCCUUCCUCUUCUCUAAGCCGUCUUAAAUCAUCAGCAUUAUCCAACCCUGGCUUCAUUUCUUUUCCUUCUUGAACAGAAAAUUGAUGGUCAAUUGGAUGAAAAAGUCCAAAGUAAUCCCAUGGUGGAGUUCCUGGUGGGACUGAAGAAGCUUCAAAUGGUGAUGCUUCAGGUUUUUCAGUGGAACGAGGUGUAGUAUUCUGUGGGGUACUGGACGAGGUCACAGUUCCUGUAACAACUACAGGAGGCUUCUCUUCAACCUUUUUGGAAGAAAAACCCCUAAAUUUCAUGUGAUUUGUUUGAAACCGACUAGAGCUGGGAGGAGAGGGUGAUGGAGAAAGAUUUUCAGUUGCAUCCACUGGUUGUGAUAGAGACGGAGAGGAAAUGGAGAAAUGUGAAAUGGACUUCUCAGUUAAAGCAAGAGGCUCUGGUGUUGCAUUAGUGGAAGUGUACAAUGAAGAUUCAAUUGGAGCUUCAGUUUCAGCGAACUUUCUUAGAGCAGUUCCUGUAUUUCUCAGUGAUUGGACAUAUAUAACAUGAGCUGCUGCUAGUGAGCACCUGCCGUCAAGAGCCUGCCUAACAAAUUUCUUCCUUUCACGACAAAGCUGCAAAGCCUUAUCUUCUUCUAUUUUUGAAUUUGCAGCCCCCAUUUUCCAAUGUUUCAAUAUUCCACUAAUUCAACAAUUUAACGCAUGGGGUUCUUCCUGAAAAUCAGCCAAUUACAGAUCAAAAUCAAAGGAACUUCAAAAACAUAUAUAUUGAUAUAUACAGCUCCUCUCAAGUUUUGAUGUUACUUUUCCCUUAUCACUUAAUAGGAGAUAAACAACCACAAAUUACAACUAUAACUAAGCAGCAGUAAUGAUGCUAAGAGAACUGAUUGGUUCAAUUGUUUUAAACUUUAAACAAGCUAGCUUAAUUUCUAGAUCCAUGAACCAAGACUUCUAGCAUUAAAAUAAGGGUAAAAAAAUGGGAAAUCAUAAAACAAAUCUCCAUCUUUAAUCCUUAAUUUUAAAUCAAAAUGCUCUGGAAACCAAGAACACAAAAGUUGCUAUAUUUCGAAACAUAAGCCUAAAAAGAAGAAAACCCAAAAAGAGAAGAGGGAAAUAUCUAUUCAUAUUCAUCUACACAAGCUCCAAAGUUAACACACAACCACAGCAUCAAAACUAGCCAUCAAAACGCAAAGAUGUCCAGAUGACCAAUUUCUGGAUUAUCAUAACCUAUAAACUCCAACUGCCAAACAAAGCUCCGCCCCACAUAUCCAGUUCCUUCCAGUAAAAAUAACUAAACCAUAUAAAAAUAAUAAAAAAAGAAAACCUUUGCAGAUUAUACAACCGUCAAUCUCUGUUAAAUUUAUUAAUUAAAACUAAACUAGUAAAAAAAAAAAGCCCAUCGAGAGAGAUGGAUGGGAUGGAGAAUUGCAUAGUACCUCAAGAUAGAAGUGAACUCAGUAGACCGAGUACAAAUAGCAUAAAAAGAGAUAAAAAUCAAGGCCUAGAACUCAGUAGAAUCAAUCAAAACAUCUGCAAAAUGAACAAAAAAGCAGAAAACAGUAAAGAUGAUAUAAGACACAGAAAGAUACAAUAUUAACAAAACUGCAAACUAAAAUCAAUAAAAGAAGUUGAAAAACAACAAUCAACAAUUAAAAUCAAAGUAAAACUAAAAUUAACAACACUAAAUCUACUAUGGAUUAUUAUAUUUAGAAGUGAAGAGAAGUGAAGUUAAGUCAAGAGAAAAGAAUAUGACCUGAGAAAUUGAAGUAAAAAGUAAUAACAAGCGUGGAAUUCAGGGAAUUAGAGACUCAGAUUUUGAGCAGAAUUAUUCCCAUUGGUUUUGGUUCAUACAGAAAGAAGAGAACUUUGGCUAGAGAGGGAAAGAGAGACUUCCUAGAGAGAGAGAGGAGUAGAGAAUCGAUUAAAGAGAAUCCGAUCGAGAAGAGAGAGAGAGAGAGAGAGAGAGAGAGAGGAGGCUGUGGUCUGUUCCAUGCAAAAGGCAAUCUGGCAGAAGAACGCAGACACAUUACACGCUGUGCCGCUGUGGACUGUGGACCCCGCCUCAUUCCAGUCGCCACCCCUCAUUAAGAAACCUCCAGGCAGCGUCAUUUCCACGCGCUUCAUCCGUGACUAAAUAAACUAUAUUAUUAUUAUAUUAAUGAAAGGGUAAAUUACUCUCUAGGCCCUGAGAUUUAACUAAAGUUAUUACUUCAUCCCUACUGUUUGAAACAAUUACUACAAAUUUCUGAGGUUUUAAACUAUUUAGCUCUUUUAUAUUUUCAUUGUUAAGUGAGAAACUAAAUAAUAAUUCACUAAUAAAUAUAAGGGAUUAAAUAAUAAUAAUAAUAUAUUAAAUAGGCUAAACAUUAUAUAAUAUUUAAAGCUAAACAUUAUAUAAUAUUUAACGGUGAAAUAAUAUUUUUGGAAACGAUGGAUUAAGUAAUUUAAAGGGAUCAAAUAUUAAAGACAUCACAAUAAUUUUUCUGGGAAUGAAAUUUCGGUAAUGUAAUAUUAAAUAUAAAAAACUAAAUAAAUGAAUAUAUCUUUACACAUUAUCUAUAUAUGAUUAAGGUGAAACUAUAUGAACAUUAAUUUUCUUUUUUUAUUAUUUAUUAUAACUUUAAUAAGGUUUUUCUUUGAAAAAAGAUUUUAGUUGGACUAGUAUAAAUUUUUUUUUUUUGCUAGAUAAAGUUUUCAAAAAAAAUAUAAUUGUAAUGAUAUGAUAAAAUUCUUGAAAAGUAAGCAUUAAGUGGAUUUAGCUAAAAGGCAACAAAGUAAUGAGUAAACAAACACAAUGAAUAGAGAAAAAUGUGGAAAGCAUCUCCUUUUUCUUUUUUCUUUUUUUUUUUCUUUUUUUUUUUAAUUUGUGGUUUAAGAGGCUACCUUUUGGACAAAGCUUUAUCUAUCUCUUUAACCUACUUUUGGAUUCUCUCUUUUUCUUUUUUAAAUUAAGACAAUAAAAUUUUGGACACUUUUAUUUAUUCCUUGUAUAUUAUUUUUGUUUUAUACAUUCUUUUUCUAUUUAUAAAUCAUAAUUGUUCUUGUCCUAUAUUCAAAUCCAUUUUAGACUUGCUCUAAAAUAAAAUGAGGAGAAUAUCAAAAUAAUUUUAAAAAUUAGAGCUUGAUUUAUUAGAAAUAAUAUUAUUGAAUGUACUAAGUCCACGAAAAGGAAUUUGGGUUUAAAAAUAAUAUUAUGAGCAAAUUUAAUGUCAAUUUGUAUAAGUUUGAUUCAAAAUGAAAAUGGGUAAAAAGAAAGAAAUAAGAAGAAAAGAUAUGUAAGUUAAUGUUGGGGAACGGCUUUUUAAAUAAUCUUUUAGCAUUUUGACCAGAUAAAAUAUUAAAUGUUAUUUUUUAUAGUGUUGGGUAUCAUAGCGUUUUGACUAAUUUUUAGAUGUUAAGGUAGCGUUUUAUGCAAGUUAAUCCAUAUAAGUGUUUUAUGAAAAGUUACUCGAACAGUUAACAACUAAAUGUUACUAAAACAGCUGUUAAAACAACUAAUUUUGCCGAAUAAACCCGUAGUAUGGUUUUUUUGUUGAGUCUGUUAAAGAAGAAGUGGGGUCUAUUCCUUAUUCCAAGACUUUGCUUUUCAAAUUUUUGAAAAAAAAAAAAAAUCAAUGACUUAGAGGUUUUCUAUUUGACCACAAUUAAAUCCAUGUACAAAACUCACUCCCUAGAAUAUUUAUAGCAAAUAUUUAUAGAACAAUAAAGACCCACCUACCCUUUUUAAUGUUUAAAUAAUUACAUUUCUCCAAUACAUAAAAUUAUUAUAUCCACUUCACUUAUGUUUUGUCUGUUGCAUAUAAGUAAUUAUUUUAAUUCUUGAAAAUAGUUAUUACUCUUAAAUAGAUGUCUACUUCAAGGUUAGUGAGCUAGAAUGUCAAAAUUAAAUAAUUCAAUCUUGAAAUCAUAGAUUUUGUAAUCAAGUCAUUAUAUUAUUUUUUUUGUGCAUUGAAAUUUAAAUGUAGAAUAUAUAAAUAAAGGUAUAUGUAUAUUUCUAAGUCCAAGACUUCUAUUUCUAAUUGAAUUUUUAAAUGAUUAAAUUAAUUUUGUUGGUUAUUUCUUUAAUAUCAAUGUUUUAACAUUAAAAUAAAGUAAAAAUCUUAGCAUUUUGCUUUUUUUCUAAUUGUAGUCAAGAGAUGUACAAACCAAGGGCAUUUUGUAUGAAAACAGUCAAUUAUUAGUGUUAAAUAAGCACAAAAACACUAGAAUUUGUCAUUUUUUUUAAUUUUAACACUUUUCAUUUAAUACAGAGAUCAAUCAACUAAUUUCAUCCUUUGAUAUUUAUUAUUAAUAGUUUUCCCUUCUUAGUUUUACAUCCUUGCUUCACCCCUAAUGAAGAUGCACAACAAUACUGCAAUAUGAGCUGUCAAGCUUAUAAUUAUUUUUUUUUAGUAAUAAACACGUAGAAUAUAUUCGACAAUAUUAAUUGUUUUAAUAGUGGUUAGCUGUUAUUAACUAUUAGCUUAACUGUAGUUGUUUAUGAAGUUUCGAUAAAAAUAGCUGUUUAAUUUAAAAUAAUAAAAAAAUUACAUUAGUUAUUUAAUUAGUUGAAUUUAAAAAUUGAUACGAUUGCCAAAACAAUUUAAUUAAUUUUUGCGAAACACUAUCAUUAAAGCGUUUAAAUACAAUUAAUAGAGAUAGAGAUUUAAUUUAUUACAGUAGUUCUAAACUUUUAACUCAUUAUUAUCUAGGGCCUACUCUGCAGCAGCUUUUCUAUUAUUUAUAGUGUUCGAUUGCGUAACUUUAUUAAUGUUUAGAGUUUGAUAAAGCAAAUUAUGAUUCCCUUUAACGUUUAAUAAAGUGCUAAAUAAAACAGCUAAUAGUUACUAAAAUAACUAAUUUUAUCUAUCAUAUCCCUAAUCUAUUUCUAAGAUGAGUCGCAUAAAAUAGCGAGGAUGUGAAUAUUUUUUUAUUUUUAAGAGAAAAGAGAGAGAUGCGUGGGUGAAAGGACAAGCCAGCAAUAAUUGUAAUAACAAUAACAUUCAAAUCAUAAUUCAGGUUAUGAUCUUCAAUCCAUCAUCUUUUGACAAUGACAAAGCUGCCUGCUAUGCAAGAAAGAUUUUGGCCUCAUUUUGAUAGCAAAAAAAGUAGCAUCACAUAAGGAAUCUAUGAGUGUCUUUACACAUGGGAUGUUGAUGAUCUCCACUUGGUGUUGCCAAAAUAUAUAAGAAAAAGUGUAUCCACACUUUAUUUUGAUUGAUCUAAAAUCUAAAAGUUGGCUAAUCGUUUUUAUUUUAUCUUGUUAUUCAAAAAAAAAAAAAAACCAAUUAAUAAUAAUUAUACACAUGAAAUUAUAAUUAUGCAGAUGUAAAUAUAACAAAUGUGUCAGCAAAUUAUUCACAUCAAACAUUUAAACUAAAUAAUCCAAUGAAUUCAUAAAAACACAAUAUAAAUCUUCUAAAAAUGGCACCAUGUUCACUCUUUAGCCAUUUGGCUUCUUGAUUAGAAGAAAUGAUAAUCUGAACUUGAAAAUUGAACAGAGAAAUUCAACCAGCAUAUAAUCUCUAGACCAAACAAUAAAAAUUACACAAAAAAAAUAUGCAACAAUUAUGAAUCUACUCAUUAAUCUAAUAUAUAAUGGCGAUUCUGCUGGUUAAUGGUCAUUGGUUACCUUGCAUCCGAAGUUAAUAGCAAUCUUGUGUAUACUAGAACCUAACCGCCAUUGUUAGUCAAAUCUAUCCAAGCAAGUUUGGGGCAAACAUAUACAAGAAUAUUCCUAAUAAGAGCUGCUUUUCCCUUAGCUAAAUCUAUCCAAACAAGUUUGGAGCAAAAGAUACAAGAAUUUCCACCACUAAUGAGUUGCUUUUACCUUGUUCGAGCAGAUGACCGAGUAACUCUUCUCAAAUCAGAUACAGAUUGUGAUGCUUGAGAUGAGGUGCAUCCAACAGUAUCUGCAUCAGUAUUUCUGUUUGCUUUAUGUCUCUUUCUUUUGGAUCCUGCAGAUGGGUGGCUCUCAAUUUGUUCAUUUGGCUCAUCCUCUCCUUCUACAGCUUCACAUUCGGGAACUUCACAAUCCCAUUGAAUGCCACAAGUUGGACAAACUAUUUUACCCUGCAAUGCCAAACAUUUUGCCAGUCAUUUACAUGAGAAAAAUACUUCAUGCUUGAUUUCUGAGAAAAUAAAUUCAUCAGAAGAUUCAAAUUGAUACCCUUCUUUGGGAAAGUUUUUUCUUCAGGCAGUAAUGAUGAAUUCGAAGCGCACAACCUUCAUUUUGGCAAACUUUUGCCUGCCAGAAGUAGUCAGAACAGAAUCAAUGGAUUUGAUAGGAAUACAAGGAUUCAUCAGUUGGCCCUAAUUGUUAUCGGUUGCUGUGGCAGUCAUGGGUUAUUUAAUAAGCAUAGAAUUAAUUUUAUCUUAAGGUAACUGGUGAGAGUACAAGGAUAUUUAACUUCUAAAAUUACAUGAGUCUGCACACAUAUUCGGCUUUGAUGCUGCAUGAAUGUUGAUGUACUUAAUCCUCCUAGUGGCAACCUCAUCUUGCAAAUAAUUGUGAUUUCUCAACAAGCAGUAGGAGCUGUACAUAAUGAUGGGCUAAUUCAUGUAGUUCAACCGGGUCGAAUAAGUAGUAAUCAACUACAAGCUACAAUUUCUUUGAAAUUUUAGGCAACGACAAAAAUAGAGGCAUUUGAGUAGCAAAGCAACAAAACCUUUAUUGCAGCCUCAUUGCAUACUUCACAUGAUGGAAUGCCAGAAUUAUGAAAUAAACUUCGUAAAUCAAGGUAGGAUCUGACACCUAGUCCAAUGUGACCAUCUGGGGUGUGACAAAGCCACUUAUCGCGCACAAGUUCAUCAAGAGUUUUUUCUUUCUGUGACAUAGAAAAAUUCCUUAACGCAGGAGGCACUUGAGAUAAACCACCUUGUGAUUGUGAUCCUGUCCCACCAUGAACCUGAAAAUAGACCAAAGUAAUAUAUACAUAUGAACAUCUCUGCAUACAAGAAAAUGAAGAAAAAAGUUCGAUGAAGUUUCUGGUCCUAUGAAAAUAAAUUUUAUAUAACCAGCAUAAACUUGUCCGCCUAUAAAAAUAGCUUAAUCUGCAAGUACAUAAAUUCCGCAAUCCUUUGUCAUUAAAAUACUAUUGGCAAUUUUACUAUCAAUCAAAGGAGCAUGUUCUAAUUUGUAACAAACCACAAUGAUAUAAUUUUCAAUGAAUGCUCUUUUCUAGGAAAAAGUAAAGUAUAACUCCAAGAAUCACAAAGCACAAGUGACUUGCAAGAGAUAAAGCAUUAAUUUUUUGAAAACAUAGAAAAAAAGGGCUUUCAAUCUAGAGGAGUGAAAAUUAUAAUUUGUUGAACUUAAGAAUAUCAGUUGUGUGCUCUAUAUGCAUAAUAGUAACUAGUUGCAAUGCAUAUUACAGAAAAGGUAAAAAUAAUUCCAUUGUUAGAAAUCAGAAAAUAGGAUUUGCCUAAAUGAAUUGUUCCAAACAAAGACUUCUUCUUCCUUAGAUUCAAACUUCUGAAAGAAUUUUCAUUUAUCCUGUUGUUUCAAAACCAUAUAUUAGGGUAAUGAACAAAAGCAUUUUUUUAUGGAAACAAAUUAUUAAUGAACUCUAAUCAUAGAAGACACUUGUGAUUCCUAAUUAUAUAUCACUUGGAUUUUUCUCUAUACCACUUAAACAAGGCAAUUAGAGUACAAAAUUUUUUUCUGCAAAUACAAAAUGUCCUGGAUUGUAUUAGCUGAAAUACAAUGUAAACAACAAUAUUAAGUAUUAUUAUUUAUCACCAGUUGCUGGAUUAGAUCAAUAAUUACUGAAGCUCAGGGAAAAAAACUUUCACACCUGACUCUCCAGCCGUAUGUUGAGAGCAUCAAUUGUGGAUAUGCUACCUUGGGCUGUGGCAUCCUGCACUAUUGCUUCUAUCUGGCACAUAAACAGAGCAGAAACAAAAAGGACUAUAUAAACAACAUAAACUAUACACCAUAAUAAUUGACAUAAGAACAUAAAUGUGCACAAAAAGCAGGAAAAAUCAACAACUUCUUUUUCCUCCCAAGAAAUCAAAGAAUCGUGAAAGAUGCACACAACACAACAAGAAGUGAUUUUAACUAAACUAGCGUAGUAAUAAAAGCCCAUUUCAAAUAACAUGGCAAAUAUCUCUCACGCUGUGUACUCAUAAUACAAAAGGUAUAACCAGAAGUGUAUAUUCUCUUCAUUGCUAGAAAAAUAUUGUUAAUGCCAAGCUAGAAACAUGAAAAGACAUGAAGGUGCUCCCUCAAUUGUCGAAGGUGUAUUCGACAGAGUUGAUCUCUUAUAAAGAUAUCAUUCUCGGCCAUAGAUAAAUAGAAACGCAUGCUAUCUAUAUUUCAAAGAAACUGAUACUUCCAGUGUUUACUUCUAAACAUUAUAAACUUAGCCCAAAGCCUUGUGAGAAACAUAUUUGCAUUCAAGUUUAUUUCAUAAUGAAUAAACUAAACCUCGAAUUUGGAAAGGAAAUUAAGUAAUAAAAGGAGAAGAGAAAUAAGGGGAAAAAAAAAAAAGAAGAAAACAUAUAUCAUUUGCAUAAAAAGGUAAAUGUAAUUAAGUUUAUAGCAAGACUUACAACGCCCUUAUAUAGAGCAAUUUGGGGAACAGAAUAUUUAGUUCCAAGCUUAGAUUGUUCAUCAGAAACAUUGUUAACAAGCCCAUAACAAACUUCACCAUCAUUUUGGUUUCUGCAAAGCCUAAGCUCCAUUUGAACAUAGGAAAGUUCCUUGUUAAUCUUUAGAAGGAAAUCAUUGAAAUCGCGCUCACAAGAGCCUGAAAAUUCAACAAUGCUUAUAAGCCUGGAUUAUCAGUGACCAAAACAGACCGAAUAGACUAAAGUGCAAUUAAAUUAAAGAAAAGGGAAAGACAAAUUAUUACGUGGGUGUUUUCCGGUGACGCCGGUGAAAAUCUUCUGGAAUUCGUUCUCCUUAAGUGGGCCGCGCGUCAUCAACACUUGGAUGAGAGUGUGGUGCUUCCAGUUCAGCACCGCCAUUUUCGUUUUUUUUUUUUUUUUUUUUUUUUUUUCUUAAUUUUGAAACCCUAAGAUUUUAUCGAGAAUCAGUUUCUAAAGCCAUUCGACGGGCGGGGAAAAAUUUCCUUUUUUUUUUUUUUUUUCUUAAUUUUGAAACCCUAAGAUUUUAUCGAGAAUCAGUUUCUAAAGCCAUUCGACGGGCGGGGAAAAAUUUCCUUUUUUUUUUUUUUUUUUUUUAAUUUUGAAACCCUAAGAUUUUAUCGAGAAUCAGUUUCUAAAGCCAUUCGACGGUCGGACAAACAUUUCCUUUUCUUUUUCUUUUCUGAUUUUUAAAGGGCUAGCUCCCUCCCAAUAUUGUAGCUCUCCAUUUGCCUUAAAAUCAUUGCCGUUUGAUCAAACUUCAUAUUUAAUCGUAACCGUCUAAUCAAGAUGAUAUAUCAGGCUGAAUUUGCAGUAUGCAAUCGGUCAAAAGCGUUUUCCGGUUUUUAUAAGUGCAUCUAAAACCGAAUUCUGUUUGUAUCCUAGCCGGAAGUAUACUAUUUAUAUAACAAUUUUUUUUUUCGCCUUCCUUAAAUUUGAUAAUUCUUUAUUUUUUUCAAUGAUUCAUUUAUAAAUGACAAAUUUUAGUUAUUUUAUUCUAACUUUACUCUUAUUUAUAUUUAUUAAAUUUUAUCUCAAUUAAUUGAGAAUUAAUUAAAAGAUAAUCAAAUACUUUUUUUUAAAAUUAAAGUGGUUCCAGUCAGAAAAUAAAUUAUGUUUUUUAUUUAUCAUUUUACUUACAAUCAAUAAUUUUUUUAUAAAUCACCAAUAUCCGAAUCUUAUUAUCAAGAACCGUAUAAUCCGACUCGAGGUUUAGUCACAAUUAAAACUCUCCGCCCUUUCCUACAGGUGCAUUUAGUAGGAAAUCGAACCCAACAACUCAAAUCACAUGUCCAGCCUUCGUUGUUAGCUAAGUCAUAACCCACAAGUUACAAUUAGUAAUUAUUUAAUCAUAAAUUUAUCAAAAAAAUUAAUUUUCAAAGCUUAUUUAUUGAUUCAUUUUUUAGGGAAAUGGCAGUGUUAUUAUUGAAAAUAAUAGUCUCAAACUGGCAACGCAUAGGUUUAGGCAUACAGCUAUAAGGAAUAAGGCUCAAUUUGCCUCGUGAUGUUGAGAGCAAUAUACAUUUUACUCAAAUUGAUUUUACUCAAAUAUCAAUUUUUUGUACAAUUUACUCCUGAACUUGCACCAAAAGAACAAUGCCCAAUUUUCUAUCCGAAAAUUAUAUAGAAAGUUAAUUUUUGAGUAAAUUGUACAAAAAGUUGAAGAGCUUUUUAUUCUUUACGUAUUAGGGGGCAAAUUGAGAUUUAUUCCUAGCUAUAUAUCAACUAUGAUAACGAUAUAUGUAUUAAGGAGCCGACACUCACCAACACAAGCACUAUUUGGAUCAGAAUCAGAAUGUACAUUAACAAAACAACAUCAAUACUCAUUUAGGCACAAUUAACGGUCACAGCCACAGCCUUCUUGAGCCAGAAGUGGGUAACCUAUAAACACUAAGAUAUACCAAAAUACAAACUGCAAGAUAGUGUGAGCACUUUCAAAGAACAAUGAUUUUUCUAUGCAAAUGAUCUCCAGUUAAAGCUUCAUCUCCACCGUGAUCGUGAUCAUGAAAAAUCAAAGUGAGGAUUCCUACCAAACAUAAAACUGAACCCACGAGAAGUUUGUCAUACCUCUCCACCCAGUGAAACUUCAGCUGACUAGCACCAUAAAAUGAUAGAGCCACGAGUAAUGUCAUCACUGUGAUAGUGCUGCCAAACAAAUAAAAACGUGUCAAAACAAUACACAUACACAAUGGUGGAAAAUGAUUUUUCAAUUGCAUACCCUUUUCAUUAUGCAACAAGUUUCGUGCAUGUUUUGAGUGAUGGUAGAAACAAUCAAGUCAACAAGGUUGCUUAGUCGACUGGAAUAUCCAGCCAAGCUAACAUUCAAGUUUGGCAAGUUCUUCUAAUUGACGAGAAGAAAAAACCACUAACUAGACCAAAUAUAGAAUAAUCUAGUCAGUUUUGAACAGAUCCGAUCUUGAGGAAGCCACUAGCUAGGAUGUCAUUCUUAAAUUUGCUCAGUUGAAUUUUUUGCUUUUUCUUACGAUCAGAAAAGAGCUAAAUAGUACCAACGAAUAUUUGGUUUGUCAUCUCCAGAGCUAUGAGGUUUCAAAUUCAAAUUCCAAUCUCAAUCAUAGCCAAAUUAAUUUAAAUAAAUAAAUAAAAAAGGGGAAAAGUAGCAAAUCAAAAGUGGAGUUAACUAGAUUACUUUACAAUGCCAAGUCUGCUUUUAGAAGAGAUGCAUCAUCUUGACAAGCCACUUGGAUGUGGUUUCAAUAUAGGCUGGGCUAAUUUUAAUGUAAUGUUGCCUUCCAACCAAGAAAAUGUAAGUAAAAAAAAGAGUGUCAUGGUACAUCCAGCAGUGAUUAAUUAUACAGACUGAAAAAUCUACAAACUCAGAGACAGAAAUUUGGCUCAAAAUAUAUUCACUGGUCAGCCAAGGGGCAGCUUUUAGGCAACAUCAAAAAUUAAAUGCAGAAUGGCUUUACUUCAAAGUGUAAUCUCCAAAAGACAAGGAUGAUUGAAUAGGUAAUAACUACCAAAAUUCUGAAUUAUGGCUUUAUUAAUACCUGAAUAGCAGCACUAUGAUAGCAAGCACCAUCAUGGAGGAUGAAUUCCCAACAGCAAGGAAAACAGGAAGUGUGGUUGCACAAGGGGAUAAUGCAGGUACAAGGACAAGCCCUGCAACAGCCAUUUUUUCCAUGGGUUGGUUGUGCGAAUGACUGUGUCCACCACCCUUCCCAGAAAGAAAAAGUAAUACAUAACUACCACCGAGAAUUAUGAGAAGAAGUGAUGCAAGCUUGUGCACUGUUUCUUCUCCAGCAAUAGUGUUUGCCAUGGUGAUUGCUGUUAUCCCAAGAAGUGAAGUGGAUAUCACAUGCAGAACUGCCCCAAAAGCCGCUGUAUAAAGAGAAGAAAAAAGUUAUUGAAGAAUAUAUUUUUGCUCUAUAUCCACAAAACUUUGAGAUUACAAUGCAAAAUUCAGCUUCCUAUUCCAGUCUCCCCAGUGAACCAAUUCACAAACAAUAGCCUGGCCCAAUAAUGUGCCAAAUAUUUGAUGAACUUAAUCAAUUAACAACAGCAUGUUGAAGUCACAGCAUUAGAUCAGAUUACCCAGAUUAGCAUUAAUCCAAUUCGAAACCAAUGAACUAAAAUCAAAGAGCAUUUGGGUAUCAACACAAUCAAUCAGCUUAAAACAGAAUAAAACAUCCCACACAAAAUCCAACAGAAACAGAUUAACUUUAAUAUUCCAUACAUAUACUAAAUGCAUACCAUUCAGCAACAUACAUAUAGAGUCAUGCUCAUCAAUGAACUGCCAUGCCAGACUGGAACAAAGCUAAAAUAUGCAAAUCAUAAAACUGGAACUAAAUAAGGAAGCGCUUUCCUAAACCAAGCAUAGCAGAAAAUUCCACCUCAUUGAAUCAAGUUUCUCUAAUCUUAUAGCCCCGAAACAAAUUCCCCACAAAUAAUUGCAAUUUAUUCAGGUUCAAAUUACACCAAACUUCAAAACUCUAUGAAACCCAGUAAAUAUUUUUGCCAUUUAGGGCCAGAUCUAAAUUGCCACGCACAGAAAUAAAGAGAGAAGGUGAGCACAUACUGACAAGGAGGGUUCUUGAGAGAGUCCAUUUCUGUGCACGGCCAACAAUGGAGAAAGGAAGCCAAUGCGUAGGAAUGAAUGAAUGAAGAAGCGAAACGGUAGCUAUUCCUCCAAUAGUAGACAGAUCUUCGGCACUGAAACUCUUCUCCAUUUAUACAAAUCUAUCUAUAUUUAAAUCAAAUAUAUAACAUCCAAAGAACAAUGAGAAAUCAAAAAGAAAAAGGAAACUUAGAUGGAUUGUUCAGAGAUUAAAUUACACAGUUAUGGUAAUCUGGUAUGAGUUUUGAGUGGAGAAAUUGCCAUAUUUGAAUUGCUUCAAAGGUUUGGUGUGGGAAAUAAGAAAGGUUUUUGUCAGAUCCAAAACGAGUUGGGACUGAUGCUUUUUAACAGAAGAAGUAGAAGAGGAUUUUACUGAUAGUAUACGGAUGGAUGAAGGCCUGUAUGCGAAUGGCAGUCAAUUUCAUGGAAUAGGGUGAAAAAGUUUAGGGGUAAUUAUUAUAUAAUCCUUGUGUUUUUAUCAAAUAUGCUGGUAAAGAUCUCAGCAUUCAAAAUUAUACUAUUUAGUCCAUAUAUUAUAAUUUUUUUUACUAUUAAAUCUAAUGGCUAGUUUUCGUUGAGUGGUUGUGAAUUUCACCUUGAUGAAAAUUACAAUGUAAGGUAUAAAUAAUGUAAAAUUAUAAAAAUUGAUAUAUUUACUUAUGUUAUCAAACUAUAAGAAUUAUAUAGUAAUUAAAAUAUUUUUGAUAGGUCAUGGACACUUAAUGAAAAAACUGAACAGUUAAACAUUACAGUUACAGUAUAACUGAUUUAUGAUUUAUUAUGUGCAAACUAAAUAGUAUAACUUUAAAAAUUGAGAUCCUUACUAAUAUAUUUGAGCAAAAUGCAAGGACUAUAUAGUAAUCACCCCUAAAAUUUAUAAGUUAGAAUUUUUAUAACUUAGCAUAAUAAAAUAAAUAAUAGAGUAUUGUUUUUUUUUUUUUUUACUUUUUUUGCAUUUUUUCUAUUUUUUUUAAAGGGUUGAUUAUAAACUUGGUGUUUGAACUUCUUAAAAGUUCUAUUUUGAUAUCUCAACGGAAAACGUUUGUUAUUAAGUGUUACAAUCCAUUAAAAUUUUUCAAUCUAAUAUUGCCUGAUUAUGUGGUACACCGAAAAUAUGACUAGGACGACAGGCGUUAUGCUGAGUUGGAUUUUUUUUCAUGAUAUGGAAAAUUAUGUUGAGUUGUCCGCCGAUGAUUGGGUAUUCUGAAUGAAUAGAAAGACCAUUACAAAGGUUACGGUAUAUCAAAUGGCUUUGCAAUUUUUUAUUCACUCUCAUCCUCUCCUUUCUCUCUCUAGUAUUAUCAAAGCAUUUCCUGCGAAACAAACAAAGCUCCUUUCUCUCUCUAGUAUUAUCAAAAAAUUUCCUACGAAACAAACAAAACAAAAGAGAAGAGCACCAAAAAAUUUCAUCUUUUGGACAUGAAACUAAAAAAAAAUACUAAAGACAUGCUCAAUCGGCAACAAAGAAGAGUAAGGAAGGGGCUUAUAAAGCAACAGACUGAUUCGACUUCAAAUUUAAUAAUGGGCCAGUCACUUGGAUUACAAUUGGAGCUACUAAACAUAAAGAAUUAGACUCACAGUAAAAAAAAGUUCAGAAAGUAUGUUUGUAAUGGCAAUAAAGGGAGGUAAGGCAAGAGAUGGGACAAUGAAGGUGUUGGAAACGGUGGUUGCUGUAGGAGCGAAAACGAAGCACAGUGAAAGAGGGUGAAUGCGAUGAAGGGGCCAACACAGAAGCCGUUGACUCAAAUCUCGCUCGUGAGAUUUGCGUCUUUGGUGCUAUGUGGAUUGGUGAUGUUCUUUCAUUGGGUCUAUGUUGAUGCCUUCGUUUCUUUGUUUGGUUAUGAAGUUUUAUGUGGUUAGGAUUGAUUGUACAAUGAAGAACCCUAAUUUUUCAAGUCUCAAUCUGUUUUCUCUAUUUCCUUUUUCAAUUUUUGUAAACUACAAUUUCUAAAUAUCUCAACUCGAUGCUCUAUUAACAAUAAAAGGCAUAAACAUUUUAAGGUUAUUUUAAUAACUUCAGUUUUUAUAUUCAUUCAGAAUACUUAAUCAUUAGUGGACAACUCAGUAUAAUUUUCCACAUUAGUAAAAAAAUCCAAAUCAGCACAAUACCUGUCGUCCUAGUAGUAUUUCUGGUGUGUCACGCAAUCAAGCGACACUAGAUAGAAAAAUUUAAUAGGCUGAAAUAUUUAAUUACAAAUGUUUUUUUAUUGAGAUAUUAAAAUAUAAUUUUUUUGAGAAGUUCGGACAUCAAAUUUAUAAUUAACCAUUUUCUAAAUAAACUUUAGAUGCGAAGCACUUAGAUUUUUCUUUUUCUUUUUUUAUUUAUUUCUUGUGUUUUGUUCUAAAACAUUCCGCUUUUAAUUUUACUUCCUAGUUUUUUUGUAGUUUUUAUAUUUAUUAGAUUUGCCAUACUGCCCAAUUGAGACACUAAAAUAUAAUUUUUUUGCAAAAUUCAGACACUAAAUUUAUAAUUAACCAUUUUCUAAAUAAACUUUAGAUGUGAAGCACUAAGAUUUUUCCUUUUUUUUUUUUAUUUCUUGUGUUUUGUUCUAAAACCUUACGCUUUUAAUUUUACUUCCUAGUUUUUUUUGUAGUUCUUAUAUUUAUUAGAUUUGCCAUACUGGCCUAUUUAUGCUCGUCAAAACAUUACAGUGGAAAUACUUAUUAAUAAAUGCUUAGGUCAAAUCUAUGGUCCUAUUUAUAGACUAAAUCAAUGAAAAUAAUAAUUUUUUAAAACUUACUUUUACUUUAUUUUUUUUUUUAGGAUAAAAGUACCUUUAUUUUGAAAAAAAUUUAUAUUUUCAUCAAUUUAAUGCAUAAGCAGAACAUAAAUUUGGUAUGGACAAAUCUAUUUCUAAAAUUGAAAUCUAACUUCUUUUUUUUAUGAUAAUGGAAUAAAAAAUCCGAGUAAUAGAAAGCGGUUCAAUUUGAUUAUUUCGAAUCGAAUAAGUAUUUUCCAUAUAAAAGUAAAAUAAAUUAUAUAUAUAUAUAUAUAUAUAUGAAAUCCAACGAUUAUCUCUGACCAUACAAUAGAUGAUUUAAUUUAAAAAGAUCUUAUCAAUUUAGUUCAAUAUUUUGGCCAAACCCAAAUAGUUUAAUAGUUUUACAUUGUAUACAUAUGGCCAUAAAUAUUUCUUUAUCUUUUUUAUUAGUUUUAUGUUCCACAUAUGACUGUUGGUGCUCUCAAUUGUUCAUGUGUUUUGUCACUUUCAUUUUAAUUUAUCAUCAUCUGUAACUAUUACCAAAUUAGUGUAUAUGUAUUUAUAAAUAAUAAAAUAUAUACUGUAUACCCUUACGAAGCGUAGGAGGCACCCAGUUGCUAAUAAUAUUAUAAGCAUUUAUUUUAUUUUUUAAAAUAUGAUUAGAAUCAUAGCCAAUUUGGUCAAUUAUUAUUAAAUUUAAAUUAUUGUUAAUCAGUCAAAAAUCAAUUUAAAAAUAUAAUAUUUCAAGUAUUUUGGUUAUAAUUUUUAACAUAAUUGAAAUAUUUAAAAUAUUAUUCUAACCAAUUAAAUUUACUAAAUAUUUUUAAUUAAUAAAUAUAUAUACCAACGAUAAAUGUUGAUUUUCACUUGCUCAUCAAACUCAUUAGUGAAUAAAUAAAGUUACCUAUAGUAAAUGCUUAUUUAUCUUUUUUUUUUUAAAUUCUAAGCUUGUAAUGAAUGUACAAAUUAUUAUUAUGCAUCACUAUAGCAUUAUCUUAAAAUAAAAAAUAUAUAUUUAUUGUGAAAUAUUUCACGAUAUACUUAUUUUUGUUACCGAAAUUUAAACUAUGUACGUAUCAUCACAUUUUAACAAUAUAUAUUUCAUUUGGAAUUUUUUAAUAUUUUGAGAUAGUGGAGAAAACUAAUUUUUUAAUUAAUUAUUUAAAUUGUAACACAAUAAUUACAAAUUUUAAUUGGAUUUUCAUCAUGCACUAAAGCUUGUAUGGAAAAUUAUAGGAUAACGUUUCUUUCUAUAAGUUUUUCAUAUCCAUAUUUGAUUUAUUUAGGAUUUAAUCAUUUUUUCAAUAUUUUUUCUAUUAUUUUUAUUUAAAAUAUUACAUAUACUAUCUAAUUCUGUGUAAAAAUAAAAUUAUAUAAUUAUAUCAUUUUUUAAAUAUUAUUUCUAUUAUUUUUAUUUAAAAUAUUACAUAUAUACUAUCUAAUUCUAUGUAAAAAAAUAAAAUUAUAUAAUUAUUAAUUAAUAAAAGAGUUAUAGAGUUUUAUGUUUUAUAUAUAAACUAGUUUUACACUAAAUAAAAUUCACGCGAUACGAUUUACGCCUAUUUUGACCCAAACCUUCUAAUUUCAUCAUACUUCGCUUUUUUGUUCUUCUUUUGUUCUUAUUGCCUUCUCUAAUUUCUAGGGUUUCACCAAAAAUUCAACCUCAUAACCGAAACAAACAAAUCCCACAAACCCAAAAUGGCUGAAGUCAUUAACAUGCCUCUUGAUUCUCUCGACCGUCGGGGCCGAGACCGCAAGGAGAAAUCCUCAACUGCCGACGACCCUCAGUCCUCGCCGCCACCUCCUCCUCCGCCUCCUCCUCCACAGAAUGCACCCCGACGACGGGACAGAGACUCCAGAGACAGAGAAUUCGAUAGGCCACCGAAUCGACGUGAUUACUACGAAAGGAAUCGGUCUCCUCCACCGAGGGAGAGGGAGAGAGAGUAUAAAAGGAGGAAUAGUUUGAGCCCUCCUCCGUUGCCUUACAGAGAUAGGAGGCAUUCGCCGCCUCCGAGGAGGUCCCCACCCUACAAGAGGUCGAGGAGAGAGGACGGAGGUUAUGAAGGGAGGAGAGGUAGCCCUAGAGGUGGAUUUGGACCUGGCGAUAGAAGGUGAGUGAGUUUAGUGUGAUAAAUUUUUAUUGGUUUAUUGGGUUUUUUUUUUUUUUUUUUUUUUUUUUGUUAUGAGGAAAUUUGAUAACUGUGUAGCUUGAUCACUGAUUUUUUCUAUGUGGCUUUUAUUUUUAAAUUGUCUGCUUAAUUAAGUAAUUUGGUCAAGAGCUUUGUAGCUCUUUCUGCUUUUCUUUUAUUGAGUCUGUCUUUUGGAUUUUUUUCCGAUAAAGUGCGAAUAUGCUACUAAUUGCUACACUAGAUUUAUUAAUUCCAUUGAGGUAACCUUUAGAUUUAGAGAGGAUUGCCAAGUUAACCUUAGAUUGAAAGAACCAUCAGUAUAAGGUAGAUGGUCGCAGGAAGAGUAUAUGAACUCUCUCUACAGAAUUGGUUAUACUCGGACCAAAUUUCACAUAGAAUUCUACAUUUUCCUGUUGGAGUUCGAAACUGAACUUAAAACUUAAAGAGAGUAUAAGUUGCUCAACACUUACGAAUUCUAACUACAAGCUUGUGAAGCUAUACAGUUAAUCCAAAUAUGAAAAUUUAUUUUUAACUGAAUUUUUUUAAUGAAAGCAAAUGAAAUGAAUUCCAUAUGGAUUUGUUCUAAACACUACCUUAACCGUAAAUUUUGCCAAAUUUAAAAUUUAGGACUUGCCUAUAAGAUGGAAAUAUGUGCUAUUGCAAUUUCUGGGGAUGAUUAAUGCAGUAUGUGGAAUUAUGAAGUAUACCUGUGUCGCUAAAUUUACAUGCUAUCUUUGCCAUAUGUCCAAAAGAAAGAAAUGUUUUACGGUUUCCAGCAUCAAAUUACCCACGUAUGAGUAAGAUAGGAAAGACCAUUGAAGAGCACACUGGAAAUUCUAUGUUCAUUCUGUUUAUCCAGUCAGUUUACUUUAACAUUUACCUAUCUGGUGUUGGAUUUAAGUUCUGAUCAGAUGUUUCAUGAGGUGUCUUUGAGAUAGAUUGGUUGCAAUUGAACUUUAACCUGAAUUUGACAUAUUUUCAUGGAUUAAUUUGAUUGUAAUAAUUCGUAUGAGCAUUUGACAGGUUGAUAUUGCAUUAUUUUGUCGGUGGUUGGAUUACACUUCAUUUUAAUAGUGUCAGUGCUGUUUUCUGUCAAUUUUUUGUAUUUCAUGCUACUUUUAGUUGAUGGCAUUGAAGUGCUAGUCAUUGUCCUGUUUUAGCUAUUUAUAGGACAUUUCCUUGCAUUACUCUAUUUAGUUAUUUUUUGUUUGGGCCUUUGUUGGCUUUCAAUUUUUUAUUUUUAAAUUGAGCCCUUCAAAAUUUGGUCAGUGUAGUAAAACAUGAUCUUUGAUGUGUAGGUUUGGAUAUGAUUAUGCUGGUGGAUAUGAACGUGAGAUGGGGGGUAGGCCUGGGUAUCCUGACGAUCGUCCUCAUGGUCGUUACAUGGGUCGUGGUGGUGGAUAUCAAAGUGGUCCCUCUGGUAAGUGCUCAAGUUCUUUGAGAUUUGUUGCAUUGAUAUGAUUUUGGUUUGUCGAAAAAGUUAGUAACGGAUCUGAAAGAAUGAGUUGAAUUUGAACCCCCAAUUCCAACUUUGAUUCUUGACACUCUGAUGUCAUCUUUAAUGUGUUGGAUGUUAGUAACUUUGGUUGUUUACAAGAUAUUACUACUUAUAUGAUUUGGAAGCUUCCCGGUAAUUUCGUUUUCUGCUAGAUGUUUUCUAUUUAAAUGAUCAAAGUAGGCACUAACAGUUGUAAAAUCAGGAUGACCAGUUUAUCCUUUCUUUCUUCAACAUAUUUUUUUAUUAACAAAGGACAGGCAAAUGAGAGCCAAGCUUGAUAUGCCAACAUGUGCAUGUGUCUUUAUGCUGGCCGAACCCUUCUGCAUUUUGCAAGUCCUACUAUCAUUUCAAUUCAUUGCUAAACAUGUUUUUCAUGCUUCAGUUCUGGCAUAAUCAUAAGCAUCUUUUGAGGCCCCCAUCCUUACCUGCAUGCACGCCCAGAGAGAAGAGAGAGUAUAAAUCAAGAAAUCAGUCUUUACAUUUAGCUUGUAUGGAAUGUGAGAAUCAUUAUAAACUGUGCAUUCUGAAGUGAUAUUGAUUUGCUUGACUGUCGAUUGUUUGAUGAGCCAGAUGGAAAUGCUUAGAUGAUAUAUUAGGACUCAAGAAGAUGCAUGCUCAUUGUGCUUUAGUUUGAAGUGGACUGUAUGGUACAACUUCUAAAGCCAAUGCAAGUUCUUGUCUUUUGUGAAGACAGGUCCCUGGAAUGCUUUUAGGAUCUGAUUUAGGAAAGCCUGUCUACGUCUCAAUACUUUUUUGGUAUCAUGUCCUCUUUUAUUUACUGAUGGUAUUUUAGUAAUAAUAAAUUGGUGGUGGCAUUCCUGUUGUUUUGGUGAAGUUAUAGAACCUCUGGUUAUUGAAUUACCUUGGUGGUUAUUUUGUUUUAUAAUUAUUGCUGCUGACAUUUAUGAAACGUUUGGAGACGGUAAAGUAGUGAACUCACAGUUCUGCUAAUAAUUGCUGGUUAUUGACCUCAUGGCGAUAGUUAUAACUGCUUGAUGGAGGUCCUUGGGUCCUUUGACUUAUCACUUUUCCACUAAUUUAACUUACCUGGACAUUUCUAAAUGUCGGAGCUGGGUUUGUUGAACUUGCCUUUUUUUCUAGUUGCCUGUUUCAAUUGGUUUUAAUUUACUUAUAAGAGUUUUAAUUUUCUUAUAAGUAUUAAUUUUAUAUUACAUUUAGUAUCUGAUUAAUUUAAUUCCUUUUUUACCUGGUUCGACUUGGUUAAAGUUUUGAUUGGUGGCCCUCUUCUUUGGCCAGUUGGAAGGCUAGGCUGUCUUAAAACCUUAAUUCGGGACAUAUGUUCUGCGUUUCAAAUAUUUGAGCCAGACAAUAGAGUUAAUGUAGCAAGUUCUCUGGUUGUCAGCAAAUUUCUAUGCUGAAUUUUGUAUUUUGGCUACGGCUUUCAUUUAAUCCCCUUUCUGUUAUUUGCUGAGGUAGAACUUACUGGAUUAUAUUACUGUUGCAGACUGGGAUUCUGGACGUGGUGGUUUUGUUGAUGCUUCCAACACAGUGACUGCUCAAAGGUUUGUAUUUAGAGUUCAUUCUUUCUAUUUACCUGAUAAUUUCAUAUUGUUUCAUCUUAUAAUUAGCUAUAUAUGUGGUUGGUGGAGGGCUGCAGAUUAUGUCUUAGCAUAAUCCAUUUGUUAUUGCCAUCUACCUUUCACAGCGAACCAUGCUUUCUUGAUAGUUAAAGUUUUGGAUGUGUGAACUAAUAACAUUAAUACAUACGGGCAUAGCGCAAAGUCAUAUAUGAGUAGUUAAUGACUUGGGAAGAUAUCCUAGCGAAAUUUUGAUAUUUGAAUAGGUUGAGCAGUACUAUUGAUCAGAACUUACAUGAUUACAUACAGUCCCUCUCUCUCUCUCGUUCAUGCAUAGGCAUUGCCAUCCUUUGUUAUGGCUUACAAUAAUACAAAGUGGCAUCCUUUGGUGUAGAAUUCGUUUUACUCUUCAAUUUGACAUGUAAGCUAAUCUUUUUUUCAGAGAAGGCUUGAUGUCAUACAAGCAGUUCAUUCAGGAGCUUGAAGAUGAUAUUCUACCAGCUGAAGCUGAGCGCAGGUACAAACUGUUGACUGUUUGGCACUUUAAAGUUAAAGACUCGAACUCAUGACUUGGAGUGUGAAAGUGAUCAUGGUCUUAUUUUUGCAGGUAUCAAGAAUAUAAGUCAGAGUACAUUUCAACUCAGAAACGGGUUUUUUUUGAGUCUCAUAAAGACGAGGAAUGGUAUCUCUCUUCUCAUGUGCGAUAUAUCUCUUUAUUUUUAACUUCAUUGGUCUAAUUGAAUUUUAUUGCAUGUAGGUUGAGAGACAAAUAUCAUCCAACCAAUUUGGUUGCAGUCAUAGAAAGGUAUGCUACUUAGAGAAUUCUUGGAUUUGUGUUUUCUACAGAUUUUCGUUUUUUAAACAGUCUGGAUGCAAUGUCAAUCACUUAAUUUCCAGAUUUAUCAUAAUUUGUUGGUGUGGACUAUAUUAUUCCUUGGAAUUCUUUGUAGGAGGAAUGAACUGGCGAGAAAGGUUGCCAAGGACUUUUUACUUGACUUGCAAAGUGGAACAUUGGACCUGUAAGUUGAACAGUUUUUUUCUGCAAUCAUGUUGACUCAAUUGAACCUGCAUGCAAACUAAUUGCUCUUUCAAUAUUCAACUUGUGUUUUCAUUCUUAAUGCCAGAGGUCCUGGUAUCAAUGUUCUAUCUUCAAACAAAUCAGGACAGACAAGUGAUCCAAAUUCUGAUGAUGAAGUAGACGCUGGUGGCAAAAGAAGACGGCAUGGCCGUGCGCCAGCAAAAGAAACUGAUCUUCUUUCAGCUGCUCCUAAGGCUCACCUAGUCAGUUCAGAACCCAGAAGAAUUCACAUUGAUGUGGACCAAGCUCAGGCCCUUGUACGCAAGCUCGACUCUGAAAAAGGAAUUGAAGAAAAUGUUUUAGGUGGAUCUGAUAAUGAAAAAAUGCAUAGGGAGAAAUCCCAUAGCAGCUCAAGUGGUCCUGUUAUUAUUAUUCGAGGCUUAACCUCUGUCAAGGGUCUGGAAGGCAUUGAACUAUUGGAUACACUUAUUACUUAUCUUUGGCGUGUACAUGGUUUGGAUUAUUAUGGAAUGAUUGAAACAGCUGAAGCUAAGGGUCUUAGGCAUGUGAGAGCAGAGGGAAAAAGUUCUGAUGCAACUAAUAGUGGGAAUGAGUGGGAAAAGAAACUGGACUCACGUUGGCAAGAAAGGUUGAGGGGUCAAGAUCCUUUGGAAAUAAUGACUGCUAAGGAAAAGAUAGACGCUGCUGCCGUUGAAUCAUUGGAUCCCUAUGUCCGGAAGAUUAGGGAUGAAAAAUAUGGAUGGAAGUAUGGUUGUGGAGCCAAGGGUUGCACAAAGCUCUUUCAUGCUGCCGAAUUUGUGCACAAGCAUCUCAAACUGAAGCACCCUGAGCUUGUGAUGGAGCUGACCUCCAAAGUGCGGGAAGAGCUGUAUUUCCAAAACUAUAUGAAGUACUGUCAUAUAACAUAACUUCUUCCUUUUAUCCUUAAUUGUCCUGAAUUUUGUAAUUUUUCUGAUAAAUGCAUUACUUCAAUUUCCAGUGAUCCAGAUGCACCUGGCGGCACACCCGUUAUGCAGCAGCCUUUACCGGUAUUGUCCAUCAAAUCCCAUACUACCCAUGAUCCACAUGGCUAUACACAACAUAUAUGGUUGUUAAUAAUUUUGGCUUUUGAAAGCUUGAAAUUCAGCUUCUGUUUCAUGCUGCUUCCUAUGUUGAGUAUAAGUUGGCAGGAUGGCACUUGCUGAAAUUAUUUAGCGGUCUGCAUAUACAAUAAAGUUCCUAGAUACAUUUACAGACCAUCUAAUUUGUUUUUCCCAGUCUAUUAUUACCUGUAGUAUGAAAAUGAAGUUAGGCAGUCUUGUACAAUAGUGCGGGGGUUGCCUAGCUUCAUGAACGUAUUUCCCUUUUCUUUCUCUUUUUUGGAAUUGAUACUUUUAUUACUUUGAUAUGAAAGAUUCAAAGUGAAGAUCCUUGAAGAUUUAAAGAUCAAUACAGCUUCUUUGGAUAUUGUGACUCUGAUUUAUCCACCAAAUAGUUGGAUGUGGAUGUCUCACAUAUGUUAGCUUGCUUACUCACUUCAUGAAGUUGUAUGUGUUGUAUUACUGAAUCAUAUAUAGAUGCCUUUGUCAGCCUAUUCGUCUGUACAAUAUCUUGUCUAUCUUCCAUGUACUGUGAGACUAGUGUUUCCUUAAAUGUUGAGCUACUUGGUUGCAUUCUGAUUCACUGCCCUAUACUCAUAAAGUGAGGAUCCAUUAUGGCAAUGUUGAAGACAUCAACUCAUGUGUUCACUUUUGUACUGUUGGUCUUCCUGAUGACAGUGUCAAAUGCUCUCAUUCCUUACCCGUUUGACUUGCAUUAAUUGAUCUUUUCUUUUCAGAAAGACAAGCCACAGAGACGUAAGAUAGGUCAAGAAAAUCGAUUGAAGGAUGAACGAGGUGGCCGUAGAGAUCGUGAAAACAGAGCAAAUGGCAGUGAAAGAUAUGAUAGGUCUGAAAACCAACAGUCAGGUGAUUUUCAAUCAAGUGAUGGGCCUGAUGCUGUCAACCAUGAUGAUCCUAUGUAUGACAGUUUUGGUGGUCAAGGCAUGCGUGUUCCACCUUUCCCUUCAGAUAUUCCUCCUCCACCAGUAUUGAUGCCUGUACCUGGUGCUGGGUAGGUUAAUGUGUUGCUACUAAAAAUAUUGGUUUUAAUGGCAAUACUACAGGUUCUUAAUUUUCGUGGCUUUUAUUAAUGGAAAUAUGUUGUUCUAACAGUCCACUAGGGCCUUUUGUCCCCGCUCCUCCUGAAGUUGCAAUGCGGAUGUUCAGAGAGCAGGGUGGUCCUGCUCCAUUUGAAGGUGGUGGCAGAAAUGGAAGGCCUGGGCCCCAGAUAAGCGGACCUGCCCCCAUUCUUCUAUCUCCAGCCUUUCGACAGGAUCCUCGUCGAAUCCGCAGGUAAUUUCUUUUUGUAUCUUUUCCAUGAACAUUCACUUUCAUUUGUGUGUGUGCACUUGUGUAUAUGAGCUGUUCAUUUGGUGUUUCUUGUUGUGUAUGGAUGUUUGAGGGAGAACAGGAGAGAGAAAUGCCCAGUCCAAAGACAAAUAAAGCAGGGCAAAUUAUAAUCCUGUCCCUGUAUUUUGCCAAAAAUAGCUACUUUGCCCGUCUUUGUAAAAAUAAACUAAUUUAUCCUCAUAUUUUGCUCCUAUUAAACGGUUUCCCUUCCGUCCACAAUUUUGGAUUUUAGACUAUAUGUCAAAUUAAAGGAAGACGGUCAGAUGAGAUGGAAGAAAUUAAAAAUCCCAAAAUAUUCAUGACACCCAUUUCCAUCCCCUCCCUCUCUCUUUGUCUCUCUUCAUGUCUCUCCAUCUCCACUCUUCCUUCUGUCUCCAUUUCCUUUCCAAACCAAGCAAAUUCUCUACCUUUACGAACUCAUAACCUAGCUCACCAAUUAAUCUUGUGUCUUUUUCCUUAAAUUCUACAAAUCAAUACCCCAUCUCAAAAAAAUUCAUGUCUAGAUUUUUCAUUUGGGUAUCCACCAAAAUACCCAAUGGAAAUCUGACAUAGAAAGCCAUCAAUAACCUAUCCUUUGCAAAAGAAAUAUGAUAUGUGGUAUUGGAUUGCAAUGACUGAGACAGGAAAUGAUGCAGCGGCUUGUGGUGGAGGUGGCUGUUGGUGGUUUGACGAGAGGAGGAUGAAUGUUUUAUGAGAGGUGGCUGCUUGUGGUGGAGAGUUUCAGAAAGAUGAAGAGAAGUGGAUGAGAUUUGUAUAGAGAAAAAAUGAAUGCUUGGAAAAUAGAAGUGGAGAGAGAGCGUGGAGUUUGUGAUUGUGAAGGGAAAUAUGAGGAUUUAGAGGAAGAGGAAAAAGAAAAAUAAGAGGAAGGAUAAUUGUGAAUCUAUACAAGGUUAUUUCUGUGAUUUCAUAUGCACUUAACGUUUAAGACCCAAAAUUUUGGAUUGAAGGACAACAUUGGAAUGGUAGCGAAAUGUGAGGAUAAAGCAGCUUAUUUUUUAAAAUGGCGGACAAAAUAGUUUUUACAAAAUACAUGAAUAAGAUUAUAAUUUUCCCAAUAAAUAUUAUUGUUCCGCUAAACCGAUUUAUACUGCUUUAGCUUAUUCUCAAGGCAUGUUUAGUAAAGAUAUAGAAUCAAUUUAAAGUGGGGUGAAAUUAAAUAAAUGAUGCGGAUUUCAUUACAAAAAAGUAAUUGUUGAAGUCGAUGUUGAUUAUGGCAUGAAUAACUUUGUGGCAUUUGUUGUAUUAAUUCCCCUGGUUAUGAUUUGAACUCUUUCGAGUAUUGAAUUUUUUCAGCUAUCAAGACUUAGAUGCACCAGAGGAUGAAGUCACUGUUAUAGACUACAGGAGUUUGUAGGUGCCACUAUUUGGAAGAGAUUAAAAUUUCAAAGCUGCAAUUUUUUGUUCUGAAGGGAGGCACUCUUGUCUAGUCAGCGUUCAGCGCUCCCGACGUUUAUUGGUUUAAGUUAAUCCAACUGUAGAAGCAAUCAUCCUUUUGAGGUUUUCACUGCUCGUUGGGUGCUGACGGCUUUUUAUUGCUAGUGGAUAUCAGUGCAAAUUGUGUUUAGUGAUGCCAAGUGCUCUUCAUUUUUUUCACCCCCUCCUUUUACCUUGAAUCUUACUCUUUAAGCAUAUAGGGGUGGGAAUAUACAAUCUUAGAAAAAUUUGUACCUGUAAAAUGGACUUCUAUGGAAAACAGAUUUCAGAUAGCUGUCCAUUUGUUUUUUUUUUUUUUUUUUCUUUUAACUUUUAGACUUACAAUACUGAGUAGCCUUAUUCUUUGUUGAUAAUAAAGAAAAAGAAAAAAAAAAAAAAGAUUGGAACAUUUGCGAAUGAUACUCUCUUGGAGUUUGAUUGUAAAAUUGGUUUCUUUAUUAUCAGCAGUCUCGAGUAUAACAGUGGCAGUCAAAACUUUAAUUAGGGAUUAAUAUUAUUUCGUAAAAGUAGAGUUCUAAAAUUGAAUCAACACAAGCAUGUGCCCUCGCUGUUUACAAUUUAUUACGUUUCUUUGUUGGUGACAUUUUUGUCAUGGAUGGUACUGAUGAGGUAAAAUAGUGAAUCCUGUGUGGAGUGCCCCAUGGAAAAUAGGCCAUACGUUUAGGCCAUAAUUGCAUCAAUCUCACUGUUUGACGUAAAUGGAAAUGACAUUUAAGAUAUAAUUUUAUAUCAAGAAAAAUGGUCUAUUAUAGAAGAAAAAUAGUAUUUUAUGCGAAGAAACAGAUACGGAGAAAAGCUAAAGAAACACGAAAACGCCAUUGCUAGGAGUUUCCAUGCAUCAUAGAUCUCUGGUGAACAUGCAACAAAAGCAGACCCAGGAGCUACCGGAGCUUUAUAAUGGCUUUCCCUAAAAAUAUUGAUCAGAUCAGACGGAAUGCCUCCCUAACAAAAGAGCAUGGAAAGUUCACUGGAAAAGCCUUCAAACCUAACCUGUCUCACAAUCUUGACUUCCAAAAGGUGCUCUUGCGAUAUGCAAAAGUGAACUAAAGUUCAGAACGUCACGGCUAUGUUAGACUCAGAUCACAUCCAGAAUUUACUUCUUGACAAAUGUUAAAGAAAAAUAUUUAACAAGGCACAUUACAAAGAAAGACUAGAUCAAAAACCUUAACUUGAUGCCUUUGAUUUUUGAAUUUGCAACACUACAUGUACAAAUAUGUUACACAAGUUUACACAGGGUUAUUGAGUGGAUGGUAACUUUGGGUGGGGGAGGAAGAUCGGAGGCACAAAUAGAAAAAUGCUAGCCAGAUCAAAAGCCCCAUGAAGAGGGAGGAUUGGUGGGGGUUCCCGAGUCAUUGGGAGAAAUGACAGAAUUUCGAGGACAGCAACAGAGACAAUGACAGAAUUUGGUUAACAAACAUUUGCUAUCCAUCUAUGCAAACUGAUUGCACCUGGGGGAACAAAACGGGCAACAAAUUCGAUGCCUUUACUUCCUCGGCUUCUUUGAUAGAGGCUCUGGCUGGGGCUCAGCCUGCGCAUAAAAGUUUCAAUUGAUCAGAAUAAAAUUUUAAAUAAGGGUUGAAUUGAGAGGAGAACCCAGUUUUCUUGCAAAAAGAAUAGAAGAUACCCCUUAUAGAUCUGAUAUACUCGAUUCAUUAUUAUCUUUACAUUUUUCAUUACUAUCUUCACAAAAAUGAAAUGUCAAGCGCAUGGUCCUCAACAACAGAUAUAGAACAUGUCAAUAGAAGAAAAUUGUAAAGCAAAUAUCAAGACAUUUCUGAAGGAUCAAGUAAUCAACUAGUAUUCCACCAAUUUAAUGAGCACCUUAUAAAUUCCCGAUGGAGAUGGCUUAUUAUUAAUAGAAUUCAGCCCCUUCAAAUUAUUUAGUGGACUUAAAAAAUAUCUUUGCUUGUGAUGCAAUGAUAUUUAAGUUGUAGAAGUGAUCCGGCCUUGUUUAUUGCACUUCUAUCAGUCAAUGGACAUUUUCUUAAUUUGUUGUAUUCCUCUCAAUUAAUAGUUCAAAGCAAAUUGACUCAAAAUCAUCCCAACUGCCAUUACCAAAAGAGUUUGAUAUUAAGCAAACCACAAAGAGCAUGAAGCAGUCCACUAUGCCAGAAUCAAACAGGACGAAAUUCAGCAUUACUAACUAGAGAUUUUCAGAGUCUAAAAAUGAGUGCAGUUUCCACCAAAAAAGAGAAAAAAACGCCAUAUUUAUAUAAGGAAAAAAAAAAGGAUCAUUUCAGUUCAUGAAGCAAAGUCACAUAAUCAUAAUAAUAUAUUUAAUUUAAUAAUAUAUUCAAAUAUAAAAGUAAUAUAAUUAAUAAUAAAUAAAUUAAUAAUAAUAAUUAAUAAUAAUAAUUAAUUAAUUAAUUAAUAAGAGAAGGAAGAGAAUGCUCACAACAUUUGAGAGCUGCUCGCGGAUGUAGGCCAUUGAUCUCAGCAUGGCACCUAAUGUAUCUCUAGACACCUGAAAUUUGACAUCUGACUCUCCUGAAGUUGUUUCAGUAUCUUGCAACUGAAACCAGCAGAAGAAAGGAUAAAUUAAAUGGUGGACAAUAAAUUGACAACACAAUAAUCGCUGUGAUAAACUAAACGAGGCCACAAAGUCUAAGACAACAUGAUAAUCACUGUGAUCAUGACUAGACAGUAUAUUGAAUGAAGAUGUAUUUCCAUGUAAAUCCUAUAUAAUUCCAUGCUUCAUUUACCAUAAGAAAGUGGACUGCCAGAUGAAUAAUAUAUUGAAAUAUCAAGGAAAAUAAGUCCUAAAAAAAAGCAGAGUGCUAUUUAAUAAGGGAUCCCAAAAUUAAAAAAAUGUACAUUUAUUUCCAAAAGAGCUUUUAAUUUUCAAAAGAUACCAAUUUUUGUCAGUUACAUUUUGUGCAGCUUCUAGUGGGGUCUAUCACUUUGUACUCCCAUAAGAUAGCUUUAAUUUUCCAUUUUCUGGAUAAAGAAAUACAAUACCAUUUAAGCUUGAUCAUGAUAGAUGACCAUUCAAUUUGCAAUCAUAACCUUGACAAUCCUCCUUGCACAUGAUAAACCAUCCCAUCUCAUAGCAUAUAAUACACAAGAUGUAAAACAGCACUAUCUAUUUCGUCGAUGAAAUCAUAUCUGGCUUGGGCAGUAUUUAUAUCUACAUGGUGUAGGAAAGCUUGAGAAGUUGAACUUUUGCGAAAUUGGAUUUGUAGAAAUCGAAGGGCAUAAAAGUUAGUAUGGCAGAUCUGAAUUUCUUUAUAGAAUUAUGAGCAUCAUAUUGAUAGGAUCUAGGACUAAUCCUAUUAACUAUCAAGAAAUAAAUCAUAGCUGGCUGGAAUUUACUGGCUUUACUGAAAAUUAAGCCUUACAAGAAAGCAUGAGUAUUUAUAGACACCAAAGAAAUCCUAAAGCUUGAAGGUAGAGGAAUACUGAAAGUGGCCGUUAUUCUUCAAGGAGUUGGAACUCUUAAAGAAGAGUAAGACAAAUAAUUUUAUCCUCAAGCAACAAGGAACUAAGAUUCUAAAAAUAGAACUAACAAUUCCCAAUCAGGACAGUUUUCCAGCAAAGUUGGACAUUAAAAAAGUUGCUUUUUUACUUAAAUUAUUUGCCCACAACUAGUUUACUUACUACAUAUAUAAAAAAGAUUCUAAUAGGCUAGAAAUAUACCAUAAUAUCUGAAAAUCAACAAUAAUUAAGUCUUAAUUCCAAGUUAGUUGGAGACAUCAAUAUGAAUCAUUUGCUUUUAUUCCACUCCAUUUAUGGCUAAAUCCAAACUAAUGCCAAGAAACAGUGACCUUUUUGAGACAUAUUAUCUCUAUGUAGUUUUUCCCUUUUAACAUCUUCCAUAAUCAAGGUACUGCACUUCCAAAACAGGCACGUUGAGGUCUAGGUAGGACAUGACCAAACCACUUUAAUGACCUUCUCUCAUUCUAGCCCAUUCUUUGUUGCUUGCACCUUUUGUCAUAUCAAUUCUAAUCUCAUACAAUCUUGUAUGAUUAUUGAUCAAUUUUAACAUCAUUUCUACAACAUUCAUCUUGUGAAUAUGAUAGAUCUUGGUAACCCAACAUUCACUCUCAUAUAACAUUGCUGGUCACACAGUCAUUUUAUAGAACUUGACUUUGACUUUGUUAAAUAUCUUUUUGUUGCAUAGCACACCUCGUAGCACUCCUCCAUUUCAUUCGUCUUAUCUUAAUCCUAUGGGUCACAUCUACAUUUAUCACUAUAUCCUUUUCGAAAACAGAGCUUAGGUAUAUGAAUUGAUUGUGCUUAGACACCACAACAUCAUGCUACCUAACUCACCUCUAUUAAAAUCACAAUGCAUGUUUUUUGUCUUCUACUUAACCUAAAACCCUUUCAAGAGGUCUUUGCCGUAAUUUCUUUUACUUGACUAAAAACAAAAUCGUCUACAAAUAACAUACACCAUGGAAUAUCAUCCCAUAUACUACUCAUUAGUUCAUCCAUAACUAGAAUAAGUACAAAGGAAAAUCCUUGAUGUAAACCCAUAAUUAAAGGGAACCUCUCCUUGAUGCAAAUCCUAGACAAAAUUUGGAACAUAGUUCUAAAAUUAUAUAUUGAUUUUCUUGAUUUCCCUAAUUCGAAUAGCUAUAUAGUAUACAAUUAAUUUAAACAAAAGUUUAAAGAGAAACUAACCAAAACUAUGAUAUCCCCAACAAAGAAGCUAUCCAAAAGAAAACUAACUAAAAAUAAUUUUUAUUCCUGAAACUUAACCAAACUAAUUCAUCCUACAAAAAUAUAUCCAAAUUCAUACAUGGUAUCCUCUAUAAGCUGUUAAAAAAGAAACUAAUCAAAUCUUGGGAGUCCUUUGAACAUUAUAACUUUUUAUGACCAAAAUGUCUAUUUUUAAAUUUUGGGCAGCUGUAUUUGAAUAAGACCCUAUUUUGAAAUUUUUCCCAAACAAUAAUAGCCAAUAAAGGAAGAAUUAGGCUAAUCCGUAGUACCAUAAGCAAGGAGAUUAAGCCAAAAAUAUGCAAAGAACAAGGAAAAACACGCAUGGCCCAAUGUGUGAUUGUGUAGGAAUGUUCACAAUAUCUUUUAUGCCAUCAUAAACUGAGAGCUCUCAACUAAAACAUGAAACCUUUAAAAUAAAAUCCAUAUCAAUAGAGAGAAAAUGAGGAGUGAGGGGGUCUCAAACCAAGGCAAGGUAGAUUUCCUUGUCGCAAAGUGAAAAAUGUUGCUCCUACUAAUGCAUUCAAAGUAACCAUUGCAAUGCUAGUUAACAAUACAAAAUUUACUUGACCUCAAGUCGAUUCCAAAGAGUUCUUUAUCAUAAUUCUAGGUGCACUCAUUCAUUUAUCUCUACCAUCUCUCUUUGGCUCCUCUUAUCCUAUAAUUUGAUUUGUAUGUUAUUUUUGCACUCAUUAGGUUCUCUUUCAUUUUCUAUUUAGUACACGAUCUGGAUUGAAAUUUAUAUAAAUACAAUAUUUGCAAUCAGAUUUCUAGUAUCUUUUAAUAAAUUGAUGGGAAAUAUAUCCAUAAAUGUAUGAGUAUUACUUUUAAUUAAUUUUGAAAAAAUACAAUGAAUCUAACAAUAUUCUCGAUUCGCGGUUCUAAAAUAAAGAAUUUCAAUUCUUGAUUUGACAACUAUGCAUAUUUGAAACAGAACUCUGAAUCAGCUGUGUAAAACAAGGAUCAUUCUCUGUAUUCCUUAUAUUAGGAUUAUUCAGUGACUUACAUAAUGAAGGCAAGCAAUACUAUGGCUUCUUCAAUUGAACACGAAGCAGUUAUGAAAUAAAUUCACAAGGAAAUUAUGAUUUCAUACAAUGUUUGAAUUGAAUUAUACAUUAAGAUCAAUAAAUUUAAUUCAUAAUAGACAGUUUAUUACUGUAAAACAAAAAAUCACUAUUUUGCUAAGUAUUCAAUUUUUAACGAAGAGUCCGGUUCUAAUUAGUGUUUAAGCAAUGGAGAGGAGUAAAUUCAUUAAAUUCAUAGUAUGCUAUAUUCCUCACCAAGCCUAGGCUAGGUGAUCUGAGUCCAGCUCAAACUUAAGUCAGGCUCACAAAAAUGCCAGAUGCAGCCCCCAUAAAUUUCAGAAGGAGCAGAAAACACAGCUCUUUCUAGUUAGAACCAUAUUAGCAAGGCAUAUGGACAUCUCUAACAGUUAAAUUUAAUAAAAUGGAAGCCUUAAUUGCAUUAUUCUCUCUGGAAGAGCUUCCAAAUAUCCUAUUAUUGACUCUCAUAGGUGCAUAAUCCCAGUUUUUCUGAAACAUAAGUCUAAAAUUUGGACAGACUUACCUUUAAAUUAAUGACAGCAACCCUGUUAGCUGGUGUAGAAAGCUGCUCACUAAUAUACGCCAUAGAUCUCAACAUGGGCUCGAGCGUAACUCUUGAUAGUUGAAACUUAACCUCUAAUUCUGUUGAAGGAUUCUUGUUGUAAUCUUGCAACUGUAGCAGGUAUAAACAAAAUAUAAAUAUGAGCAAAACCCAAACCAGGUUUGAAAUAUCUAAAUAGAGAAUAGUAGAAGGUAUCAACUUAAUAGAUGUAGGACAGGUUCAGUUAUUUGCCUAACAAUUAUGUUUGGUUUGCAAAUUUCAAAGUAAUUAACAAAUCUAAUGGCCAGGAUUAAAAAGGACGUCCACUUUCAGAAGACUGCAUUACAGCUGUUGAGAAGAGAAUUAGGUGGCUGAUGAAGCUGUCUUCAGUAACUCAGCAGACAGCCUAUGUAAGAAAGAAGCAGAAGAAAAGGAAGAUGAUAGACAAGGAGAGAAAGACGGAAAGCAUACUAGCCACACUAAACCCUGAAAUACUCAUAGUAAACCUGUACUUCAUUAAGUAAUGUAGAAAUUUAUAGGACUGCUGCAAAUUCUAAAUAAGAAAAUGUCCAAUAAUAACUAGGAAGCAAACAACCAUAACAAAAAGAAAAAUCCUCAGAAGGAUUUAAACACCAGAAUUCUAAACAUUACUAAAAUCAUGAAUUUCCUAAAUAGCAAGAUCUUAAAUAGAAGUUACAUUAUACUCCUAUCUCUGAAGGGUGCAUUUAUGGGGUCCUAAGGAUGCAUUUGGCAUGUGCUUAAAGUAUUGAGGCAAAAAAGUCAUAGAAGCAAAAGAUAAGUGUAUGACAGCCAUUUAUAGAUGGAAGUCAGAGUGCGGCUUGUAUUAUAAACAAUAAAUACUUUAAAUUGCUUGUAUUGUGAUAGCAAUGGAGACUUAUUCCUGAAACUUGCUCUGGAGGGUGAGGGGUGGUGGUGCAUAUAUGUGAAGGCAUAAGGAAUUUUCGCUCUUUAGUUCUUGACCUCCAAUUCCACUCUCUUUAAGGGAACAAGUUAACAUUUUGAGGGUGGUGGCAGGGUUACCUUAUAAGAAAAAUCUAAACUAUUAAACUUAAGAAUCAAAUCAAACUAGCUUCUAGUUUCUGUUUUGUGGUUACAGAGGUUUGAUAAUUAAAUUACUUCUUCAAAUAAUUUUAAUGCAUUUAAAAAGGUGACAUGCAGACAAUGGCAUUUGGAUUGCUGAUUGUCAGGCAAACCACUUCCUGAUUUGAGAUGCUUGAUACAGUUUCAAGUUAUAACUCAAUAAGUGUACCUUCAAGUUGAUGACAGCAACUCUGUUCCCUGAUGUUGAAUUCUUAUUCUCCAUCACCCAAGUCAUCGAUUUGAGACAAGGAAGAACUGCCUGCGUAAAAGGAACAUAUAAAUGUGCCAAAUCAACUACUUCCCUCAUUUUAGAACCAUCAUAAGUAUUUUAAAGAAAAAGACUUAAUAGAAAGCUUUAAUUUGCCAGGUCAACAUAAUUUUCCUUGAUUUUAUUAUAUAUUAAAGAACCCACAGAGACCCGAUGUACAUACGAUGUUUCCAGGAGCACCUUCAUCCCUCUGAAGGGACACAGGGGCCAUGCGGGGAAGAUUCAGAUCAGCAACAGAUUGAGCUGGAGCACCAGCGUCAUUUAGAUUAAAUCGCCGAGUAACUUCAUCUUGCCUUGGCCACAACAAUGGGGUUGUAUCUGAUGCUGAUGUAGAGCUUUUCCUGUCAUCGUAACCAAUCCCACCAGCCUGCGAGCUGGGAGGAGGAACUUUGGCAACAUUUUUCUUUGCAGCAGCAAUUCUCUUCACACCUUCUCUAAGAGCACUCAUUGCAACAUUGUAAGUAUCCACAGCUAUUGCCCCUUCCUCUGCAUAUUUGAUGGCUUCCCUACACAAAUUGUUGUACCGCAAUGCGAGAGACUCUUGUCCAUGUAAUUCACCACCACGUUCAUCUACUCCAACACCAGUUUUGGCAUUUCUCGUCCAUCUUUUUAAGAUGUAGUGAGAUGGCAAUGUAAGUACAUUUGUCACUGUGAAGACUGUCAAAACGUGCCUACAUAGAAUGCCUGAAUACUCAAACAUUUGACAGCUACAGUUUGCUUUCAUUUCUGGAUAGUUCAAUGUAACAAUAUAUGCUUUAUGGUCAUCCUCAAAUUUUGCAACCCUGAAUGUGCUGAUAUUCCCAUCACCCUCAAUUUUAUUAGCAGUAUAGACAAAAGUUUCAACUAACUCUUCUUGAAAUUUUGCAAAUAUUUUCCUUGUGUACAUACUUGCUGCUUGUUUUUCCAUUGGAGAUGGUGUCCUCAGAACUGGUGUAGUGCAAAUUGUAUCAAAAUCUGCUUCUAACUCUCUUUCAAAACAAUUUUCUAGAGCUCUUUCAUAUUGUCUGAAGAACAAUGGUAAUGUUGUUUGUUGGUUCACAUAGCCAUCAAAAAAGGAGCCAUCAAACCCUUGAUUUGGAGAUAUAGCAGCAAAAAAGGAAUCUCGAAAAUAUACUGGGACCCAUUGAGCACGAGCAUUAUACAAUAAUUGCAGCCAAUCAUGUCCACUCAGAUCAUAUUUAUCAAGGAUAGAACUCCAAGAUGAAUCAAACUCCUCAAUAGUCUCAGUUAAGUUGAUACAGUUGUACAAUUCCACCUGAAAAUUAGGAUGUGCAUGACACACAUGAGCCAAUUUUUCUUGGCCUUCUCUUAAGACAUGCCAUUUGCUAAUACAGUGUCGGGACUCAGGAAACACCUGAGACACUGCUAGCUGAAUGGCCAUGUCUUGAUCAGUGAUAAUAGAAACAGGCUGCCGAUCAUUCAUUGCUGUGAGAAAUGUCUUGAAAAGCCAAACAAAAGAAGCCUCAGAAUCAUCUAGAAGUAUUGCACAGCCAAAUAAAAUUGUUUGACCAUGAUGGUUAACACCAGUAAAUGGAGCAAAUGGCACUCUAUACUGAUUUACUCUGUAAUUUGUAUCCAAUGUAACUGCAUCCCCAAAAUGGUUGUAAGCUGUCCUCGACCUUGCAUCUGCCCAAAAAACAUUGGCCAUGCGAUUAUCUUCAUCAAGUUGUAUUGCAUAAAAGAAACCAGGGUUUUCAGCCUGCAUUUUCUUGAAAUAUUCUAACAGAUUCUGAGCAUCCCUCCCUAGUGUCCUUUUUCGAAAAUUGGGCCUAACGGUGUAAUUUAAUGGGAAAGCAUUCUUACUUACACGAUUUGCUUCUGCAGCAGGAGAAUUCCUAAGACCACGAUUAGCCUCUGCAGGUGCAUGGUUUCCAUCCAUGGAAACAGACAUUACCCCACUAGGUACAAUUCCCCCUCCUUGGUAAGUUUCAGCGAUGCCUUUUGUAGCACCAGCAAAAUGCCUGCGGGGUCUAAGGUAAUGCACUUUGCUGGGACUCACCAUAGAAUGGCUAUGCUCCUUUAUGAAUUUUGUUACAACCCAUUUGUUUUGACCCUUAAGCUCUACCCUAAGCAUUGCAUCACAACUAUCUGCAGACCUCCUUUUCAAACCCUCUCUGCCACAUGCAAACUCACGAACAUUGAUCCCAUCAGUUUUAGUACGGUUAAAAUGAACAACUUUGGAGCUAAAACCUAGUCGUCUCGCAUACUCAUCAUAGAAAGUUUUUACAACAUCCUCAGAAUGAAAUUCCAUACCCACAUAUGGCUCGGGCACUACAUCUUCAUCAUGUGCCGAAGAAUGCUCCGCAUUAUUUACUUCUCCACCCUCAAUGGGUUCAGCAUCACCAUCAUAGGCCAUUACACGGUGACCCAUCCCCUCCUCUUCAUCAAUCACAUGAACAUCCAUAGCAACCCACCACUCAAACCAAAUUCUUAGGGACAACUACGUUGCACAGUUUGCAUGUUAAUUCUCUAUUUAAGUGGGAAUUAUGCAGGCCGUAGCGGAAUUUAACAACAAAACGGCUGAUUCAACACACUUGGCAUUCAAAAAGAAGAGAAAGAAACAUAGUCAGCAAGAAAUCUUAAAAGAAAAAAUUAAAAUGAGUUUUGAGACACAGUUUGACUGAAAAAGGAACAAAUGAAUUACUACAGAGAAAUUUCCCACUGAUUCUAGAUAAUCAAAUAUUAUAAACCGAACAGCCAAAUAUAUUGCAGGGUUUUACACUUCACAGCCCCUACAAACAGAACAUGUAAAUAAACAUACAAACUAAUAGAGGUAAGUCUUUCAUAAGUCCACAUAAAAUCAACCAAAGAAAGCACUCAACUCAGACAAUGUGUGCAGCAAUAAAAAACAUGCAGCAACAAGAACACAAAAAAAGAAGAGGAACAAAAACAAGAAGCACAUCAAUUGUAAAUUAAUCAAAACAAUGAAGCUUAACAAAUUGAGACCCAAUUAAAGAUUGAGCUGUCCAAUAAAACCCAUUUAAGUAAAACUCAAAAUCAUUUCUAGAGGGAGAAAGAGAAACAGUGAUCUUCAAAACAUGCAGAAAUGAAAACAGGCGCGAGAGUAACGAGAGAGUACCUAGAAUUGGAAUUGUGCGAAAUUCGUAAAAGAAAGGACAGGUUACGUGAAAAGGGAGAGAGAAUUUAGGGGGAAAAUAGAAGUGAGAGUAGCAGUAAAGGUAGGUUUUUUAUUAAAUUUUUGAUUUUUUAGGAGAUAGAGAGUGAAACUGGAACCCUAACUUUACCUGUUCACUUUUUAAAAUUUUACGAGGAUUAUUUCGAAAACAAAUAUUACGAAGACACCCAAAACCUGUUGGAGAUUUUUCAUUUUGACCUGACACUAUCGGGUCCGGUCCAAAAGUCAAACCGGUUGAGACCGAGUGUCCUUAACUAGGCAUCCCCGGUUCAAUGAACCGCGGUUCCAACUUAUGGAACCGGCUGUUUAAGAUUUUUAAAAUAUUGAGCCUAAAUUGGCUCUUGAAUUACCGGUUUCGAUCCGAUUUCGAUUUCGACCGACUUCAAUGAACUGAUAGUUUUAAUCACGGUUUACGACAAUUUGUGUAUUAAUUUCUUCUAAAACAUAAAAAUUUGAUUACAAGGCAUAUUUCUUUUCAAAAAAUUAAUGUGAAUUUAAAAAUAUAUAUUGGUAAAUUUAUUUUAAAUAACUCUUAGAAUGUUCAUACUCAUAUACGCAAUAAAAUUAAUUAAUUUUAUAAAAUAAUCAAAUAAAUUAUCAUUAAGUUUUGUCUAAAUGUUAUUAAUUAAAUAAAUUAUUAAAAAAAAUUAAAAAUGCUUCAAACAGUGAAAUUUUGAACUAAGUAAAAUAUUUAACAAGAAAAAAAAAUGUUAAACUCUCAUUUGUAUUAAACAAUAUAAGUAUAUACUAAAAUUGAAACAACCCGGAAUUUUAUUUUCAAAAAUUUUUUAUUUAAAAAUUUAAUUAGUAAUUCUAAACCAAUGAUAUUGUGGGAUACUAUAUUAUUUAAAAUUAAAUAAAUUUAAUAUCCUACGAAUUUAUUUAGCAAAAUUAAAUGUAAAUAUAUUUUUAUAGAUAACCAAACCUAAAAACUAAAUCAAACCCAAUAGAAACCCAAAAAAAGAAAAAUUCAAGCAAAACCCGAAAUUGAGCCAAAUCCUCCCUGAAUCGGACCAAACCAUCCCAUAAUUAGAAGUGUCUAGAAGUGCAAAAAUCUCAUGAGGUCCUAACCCCCUUCUCUCCUUCCCGUUAACACCGACCCCAGCAGCUCUCCCCUCCCCUUGGUCUCGUUUUUCCAACGACGCUAGCCUUCAACCGAUGGGCGCAAUCUCUUCCUCUGCUAAGCAACAGCUCUGAUCACUGCGUCCCUUAUCUCCAGCUUGCUAGUCUUAGCGCAAAGAUGAGAGAGAUAGACCCCAAUUUGGUAUCACUGGCCAACCUCGAACAAUUUUCGACUACUCUUCGAUUAGAAAGUAUAUUCUUCUUUGUCCCGGCUAAAAUUCUGUUUCCUUCACCGCAUAACUAUAAAAGUAAUUUUUUAAUUCCAGUAAUUAUUUAAAUUGUGAGCAUUAUGUGUAAAAACUUAUUUAUUAUUGUCUGAUAUUGAACCCUGCAGUUGUAGGGCUAUGAUAAUUCAUAUUAUAGGAUCAUGAUAAAUUCAAUUAUGUACGAAUGCAGUCAUGUUAACGGAUAACUAUAGGUUGAUGAUUUAGAGAACUACAUGUGCAUAUACGGACUAUUAGCCCAUAUCAUAGAUAAUGUGUAAUGAAUUGAGCCCAAGUUAUGAAAUAUUUGAAAUAGUGAAUUUGGGCCAAGAUAUAGUAUAAUCAUAAGAUUUUUUAUAUAAAAUAAUAUGAGCUUAUUGUUCUUGUGAUCUAAUGUAAUGUGAUUGAAUUUAGUGAUUCAAGCUUACUACGGGUCUUGAGAGCCUUAUGCUCACCUAGGCCCUUGUGCCAAUUCGGUCUAUGAUUUCGGGUUGUGACAAAAAGUUAUAAAAUAUGUUAAGUGAUUAUAAUUUUUAAAAAAAAAAUUUCAGUUCGAACCGGAGCGGAACCCCCAAUUUAGGUUCAAAAUUUAACAUUCAUCUAAACUUUAAAUCACCCUUGAACCGUCAAUUUCGAUUCGUCUACAGUAUGGUUCGAUUUCAAUUCAGUCUGAACCGGUGGCCAUAAUUGUCCAUAACCUUUUUUUUUUUUGCAAAUCUAGCCGAAUUUUGAAAAAGAGAAAUAUAAAUAAGAAAGGAAACUAUAGCUUUGAAAAAUAAGUAAAUGAAGACUAUGAAGUAAAUAAUUAAUUUUUAUUUUUCAGUGAAAAAUUUUAAAUAAAUAUAGUUAAUUAUAUAAAAAUUAUUAAUUUAAUUUUUAACUAAAAAACUUUUCCGCUUAAAUAUUAAAAUAUAUAAAGUUAAAAGAAAGUUGAAAUAGGAAAAUAUAAUUAACUCAUAAUUUUAUGAAAACAUAGUCAGAAUUAAAAUUAAUGCAAGGAAAAAUAAUUAUUUCAUUUAUAAGAUUUGACACAAUUAGUUAAACGGUAUUUACCUUUUAUGUAAAAUUUAACACAUACUUGCUCAUUUUUCUAAAAGUCAAUCGCACUUUUUACUGAAUUUUGACCGUUAAAAUUGGCUGAAUCUUGAAUGGGAAGUGAGGGGCUUAUUGUAAAUGACAUUAGAUACUCUUAUUGAAAUUAGAUAAAUAGAACUCUUAGAGAAAAAUUUUAUCAAAGUAGUCGAGGAAUGAAAAGGUCAAUAGAGAACAAGAAAGUUUUGGUGUCAAUACAGCAAAAGAAAGUUUUGGAUAUUGACUACGUGUCAAUCAAUGGUUUCUUAUUUUUUAGUCCAUUAUAUAUAUUUUUAUAAAUUUAAAAUUUGAAAAUUUUGAAUUUUAAAUCUUCAUCGUUUUAUUUAUACUACGACUUCAAUAUGUAACAAUUGAAUUUGAACAUUUUAAAAUUAUAUGAAAUUUUUUGCAUCAAAAUAAUUUAGAAAGCAUGUAGUAAGUGAAGUUGAUCUUCGGGGAAGAAAGUGACUUGUCGUUUUUCCUUCAAUUGCUUGUAUAUUAAAGAAACUGAAAUUCUUUGAUUAGCCGACAUUAAUCAAGGUUUCUAGUUUUUUCAGAAAUUUGACGGCAAAAUCCAAUAAAAAUGGACGGAUGGGCUUUUACGAGUGACGGAGAUAAAAGUGAGGGACGCAUUAAAUAUUUACAUAAAAAGUAGGGAGUAUUUCGAUAAUUAUGACAAAUAUCAGGGGUGAAAUAAUUAUUUUCCCUUACGAACUUAAAAAAAAAUUCAGUAUUAUUUCAGGUAAUUAAACUCUCAUUUCUGUUCGCAAACAGGAAAAUUAUAUUCCUUCUUCACCAAAACCGAAAGAAACCCAAGGUGAAGGUGAAGCUAUCCCUCCGAAAAUUGGCACAGAAUUCAGAGCUAACAACUUAGCAGUAAAAACAAAAAAAAGAAGCAGAAGAACAGAAGAAUAAUGAAGAGCAUACCUCUGAUUCUGAUGGGCUGUGGAGGUGUCGGGCGUCAGCUGAUUCAGCACAUUGUCUCAUGCAGAUCUCUUCAUGCCAAGCAGGUUUACUUUGUUUUUAUUUCUUCGUUUGUUUCUUUGAUUUUUAUGAUAUGUUUUAAAAUUGAAAAUCGUCUUCUCUUCAAAUGAUCAGUCCAUUCUAUAAUUGUUUUACUUCAGAGAAUUCACAUUUCCAUAUAAUACUGAAAAUUUGGCUGUACUUAUUGCGAACAGUACCUGUGAAUAGAUUUACCAAAAUUAUGUUUGUUAUAUACUUGUAUUUUUUGUAUGCUGUACAAAUUUUUGGCUGUGGCAGGGAGUCCACUUGAGAGUGGUGGGUGUCUGUGACAGUAAGUCAUUGGUUGCUGCAUCUGAUGUAUUUACCAGGGAAUUGAAUGAUGCAUUUCUAUCUGAAGUUUGCCGCGUCAAGUUGAAUGGUUCAUCACUUUCAACACUUGCUGAUUUUGGUGAGUUACCUGAUUUAGUGAGAGGGUCGAUUUAAAGUUUAUUCACCACUGUACUAAUGAUUCUUUCUUUUGUGUCUCUAUAUAGAUGAAUGCCUAGUCUACUCGAAUUCUGAGUCAAAAAGAAAAGUUAUAGAUAUUGCAGCUCUUCUGGGCAAAUCAACAGGUUCUACUGUUUGUGCCUCUCUUGUUUUUAUCUUUUAAUCCUUUAAAGUUAUUAGAUAUUUAGACUCCACACUAUUGCUUUGUAAAUGAUAAAUUGCAUUUCUAGUAAUGAAAUUAUUUCACUUGUUACUUUUUAUGAUUUGAACAGAAGCUGAAAUGUGGCGUUCAGCUUCUAAACUUUCUGAUUCUGGGAUGACCUUAUUUUGUUCCUUUAUGUGACAGGUUUGGCUUUUGUAGAUUGCUCUGCAAGUUCUGAGACUAUUGGAGUGUUAAACCAAGUGGUCGAUCUAAGAUGUUGCAUUGUCCUGGCAAAUAAGAAGCCUCUUACAUCUACUCUGGUAAUGAACUCUUGUUGCUAUUCUUGUUAGCUAGUGAUAGAAAAUAAUCAAGGGCUUAUAGGCGUUUGGAUGUCCCAUAUGGAUUGUAUGGUACUUGAAUGGAUCUGUUUUGGAAUGAUAACAACUUUAUUGUAAAUAGAAACUAUUUCCUGAUUUUUGGGAGGGAAAGGAUAAGAGUGACUGUAAAGUGAAGGCUGAAGAGUGGUAUCUUUUUGGUUAUAAUUUGUGAAUAGCUGGCUUCAGCCUUUGAGUUUCUGGUCCAAGGGACCAUCAUUUUGUGAAUAUAAGACUUAUUCUAAUUCACUUGGAAUAAUUUCCUAUUAUAUGUGGACCACUCGUUGUCACUUCUCAGGUGCCCUUGAAUCCAAUCUUUUAUUUUUACUUUUAAUAAAGGGUUUGGCAACCUCAGUUAUGAUAGAAAUAAUAAUAGGGUACUGAAGAGAAGUGAACUUUGAUAUCUCUAACUGAGGUUGGUAAUGAAGAAAGUAAUCAAACGAAAGGAAUAUAAGAUUUCUCUCUUCACUUCUCAUGUAAAUAUUUGGACAAAGGAAAACUUUUUGCUUCACUCCUCUCAUCCAAACAGAUCUCCUCUUGCUAUUAUUUUUUGCAGCAGCUCAAAUGUUUCUUCCAUUACAGAUCUGCUGUUCAACAUAUUAAGAACGUUUUGUACUCUUUCUUGCAGGAAGAUUAUGACAAAUUAGUUUCCUAUCCACGCCGCAUUCGGCAUGAGUCAACUGUAAGUCAAAUUAUUUGCUGAUGCAUAUAUCAGAGUUCUUUCUUAAACUUUUCAAAAGAUGAACACAAAAUGUGAGUGGAGUGGUAAAAGAAACUAAUAAUGGAAGCUUCAAACGAGCACACAGCAUGAUUCAAGACUGAAAUUUGUAUUGGUGUUAUUACUGUAUUGAAAUUUGUCUUCAUUCGUUUCACUAGUACAUGUUGGCUCAACUUCUUAUAUU